RNAcentral lists this long non-coding RNA (81516 nucleotides) under Triticum aestivum (bread wheat). RNAcentral's name for it is "long non-coding RNA (TAES_LNC003949)". The stretch from base 42014 to 42100 matches the Rfam family "MIR1120/MIR1122 microRNA precursor family". The record is from RNAcentral. Lineage: Eukaryota; Viridiplantae; Streptophyta; Magnoliopsida; Poales; Poaceae.
GCGCGGCGCGGGUUCAUAGGUCUCGGAUCCAGCGCCGUCUGUAUCCUAUUCGUAUGAGGAACCUCGGCUAGGAUAGGAUUUAAUUAGUUAGGUUUUGUAUUAGGGUAACACCACCUAGGGUUGGAUUGAUUAUCCGUAACAAGGAAUCAAUCUGACGUUCUAGUUAGGGUUUGCUUGGUUGGUUGUGGUCAGAUUUUGGUUUCUCAUGAAUUCUUCAACUGUGCCUGUCGCGAUUUUGGGCGGAAAUUGAUGAUUUCGGGGGCAAAAUCCGAGGGAUUUUGUGGAUGAAAGAUGGGGAAACUUGGGGAAAUGCUAGAUCCACUCGAAACCAAGCAAAUCCAUGGAUCAAAAUCAACAAAACUUCAUCAUGCCAACAAAUCACAAAUAAAUAAAUAAAUAAAUAAAUAAAUAAUUGGGGGGCUAUUUUUGGUGGGGAAAUUUCGAAUUAGGACGAAAAACAACAAAAUCAAAGCUACUGAAAAAUCAAAGCUACGAAAAUAAAUAAAUAAAUACAUGUUAGAGAAUGAUGUGCCUGAUAAAGGAUUUGAGAAGCUACUGAAAAUAAUGAAGAAGAAGCUUCCAAAGGAUAACGAAUUGCCCGACAGUACAUACGCAGCAAAGAAGGUCGUAUGCCCUCUAGGAUUGGAGGUGGAGAAGAUACAUGCAUGCCCUAAUGACUGCAUCCUCUACCGCGGUGCCUACAAGGAUCUGAACGCAUGCCCGGUAUGCGGUGCAUUGCGGUAUAAGAUCAGACAAGAUGACCCUGGUGAUGUUGAUGGCGAGCCUCCCAGGAAGAGGGUUCCUGCGAAGGUGAUGUGGUAUGCUCCUAUAAUACCACGGUUGAAACGUCUGAUAAGAAACGGAGAGCAUGCCAAGUUGAUGCGAUGGCACAGUGAGGACCGUAAGAAAGACGGGAAGUUGAGAGCACCCGCUGACGGGUCGCAGUGGAGAAAAAUUGAGAGAAAGUACUGGGAUGAGUUUGCAAAGGACCCAAGGAACGCAUGGUUUGCUUUAAGCACGGAUGGUAUUAAUCCUUUCGGGGAGCAGAGCAGCAAUCACAGCACCUGGCCCGUGACUCUAUGUAUGUAUAACCUUCCUCCUUGGAUGUGCAUGAAGCGGAAGUUCAUUAUGAUGCCAGUUCUCAUCCAAGGCCCUAAGCAACCCGGCAACGACAUUGAUGUGUACCUAAGGCCAUUAGUUGAAGAACUUUUACAGCUGUGGAAUGGAAACGGUGUACGUACGUGGGAUGAGCACAAAAAGGAGGAAUUUGACCUAAAGGCGUUGCUGUUCGUGAACAUCAACGAUUGGCCCGCUCUCAGUAACCUUUCAGGAUAGACAAACAAGGGAUACCACGCAUGCACGCACUGUUUACUUGACACCGAUAGUAUAUACCUGGGAAGCUGUAGGAAGAAUGUGUACCUGGGCCAUCGUCAAUUUCUUCCGACCAACCAUCAAUGUCGAAAGAAAGGCAAGCAUUUCAAAGGCGAGGCAGAUCACCGGAAGAAGCCCGCCAUGCGUACCGGUGAUCACGUACUUGCUAUGGUCAAUGAUUUACACGUAAUCUUUGGAAAGGGUCCCGGCGGACUAGCUGUUCCGAAUGACGUUGAGAAUCAUGCACCCAUGUGGAAGAAGAAAUCUAUAUUUUGGGACCUACCCUACUGGAAAGACCUAGAGGUCCGCUCUUCAAUCGACGUGAUGCACGUGACGAAGAACCUUUGCGUGAACCUGCUAGGCUUCUUGGGCGUGUAUGGGAAGACAAAAGAUACACCUGAGGCACGAGAGGACCUGCAACACUUGCACGAAAAAGAGGGCAUGCCUCCGAAGCAGUAUGAAGGUCCUGCCAGCUACGCUCUUACGAAAGAAAAGAAAGAAAUAUUCUUUCAAUGCCUGCUCAGUAUGAAGGUCCCGACUGGCUUCUCGUCGAAUAUAAAGGGAAUAAUAAAUAUGCCAGAGAAAAUGUUCCAGAACCUAAAGUCUCAUGACUGCCACGUGAUUAUGACGCAACUGCUUCCGAUUGCAUUGAGGGGGCUUCUACCGGAAAACGUCCGACUAGCCAUUGUGAAGCUAUGUGCAUUCCUCAAUGCAAUAUCUCAGAAGGUGAUCGAUCCAGAAAUCGUACCAACGCUAAGGAGUGAUAUGGCGCAAUGUCUUGUCAGUUUCGAGCUGGUGUUUCCACCAUCCUUCUUCAAUAUCAUGACGCACGUCCUAGUUCAUCUAGUCGACGAGAUUGUCAUUCUGGGGCCCGUAUUUCUACACAAUAUGUACCCCUUUGAGAGGUUCAUGGGAGUCCUAAAGAAAUAUGUUCGUAAUCGCGCUAGGCCAGAAGGAAGCAUCUCCAUGGGCCAUCAAACAGAGGAUGUCAUUGGGUUUUGUGUUGACUUCAUUCCUGGCCUUAAGAAGAUAGGUCUCCCUAAAUCGCGGUAUGAGGGGAUACUGACUGUAAAAGGCACGCUUGGAAGGGACUCAAUAAUAUGCAGGGACGGAUAUUCUUGGUCUCAAGCACACUACACAGUUCUACAGAACUCUACCUUGGUGACCCCGUAUGUCGAUGAACACAAGAACAGUCUGCGCUCCAAACACCCGGAGCAGUGCGACGACUGGAUUACAUGUGAACACAUCAGGACUUUCAGCAGUUGGUUGGAAACACGUCUCAGAGGUGACAACACUGUUUGUGAUGAGCUGUACUUGUUGUCCAGGGGACCAUCUUCGACUGUAAUGAUUUGGAAAGGAUACGAGAUAAAUGGGAAUACAUUUUACACGAUUGACCAAGAUGAAAAGAGCACCAACCAAAAAAGCGGUGUCCGCUUUGAUGCAGCAACCGACAAUGGAAAUGACACAUAUUAUGGUUACAUAGUAGACAUAUGGGAACUUGACUACGGAGUAGAUUUUAAGGUCCCUUUGUUUAAGUGCAAGUGGGUCAAUCUAUCAGGAGGCGGGGUACAGGUAGACUCACAGUACGGAAUGACAACAGUGGAUCUGAAAAAUCUUGGGUACACUGACGAACCGUUCGUCCUAGCCAAUGAUGUGGCACAGGUUAUCUAUGUGAAGGACAUGUCUACCAGACCGAGGAAAAGAAAAGAUAAGGAAGCGAAUACAUCAUAUAAUGAGCCAAAGCGCCACAUAGUUCUUUCAGGAAAAAGGGACAUCCUGCGUGUGGAGGGCAAGACAGACAUGUCUGAAGAGUAUGAAAAGUUUCAUGAAAUUCCCCCCUUCAAAGUCAAGGCUGACCCAAGCAUCCUGAUAAACGAUGAAGAUUAUCCAUGGUUACGGCGCAAUAAGCAAACGACACAAGCGAAGAAAAAGUGAAGACUUUCUCCCGCAACUAUUAUGAUGAUACCAUGCCAACUUUGUAACAGACGAGUAUGAUACCAUUGUCCGGUUUGUACAUGCACAUGCUAUGCCAACUUUUUCAGAGUUCAUUUGAAAACUAUGAAUUUGAAAACCUUGCCAACCGAAGGGCGCUCACACCGGUUUAUAAGCCCGUCCCUCUACACGCCUUGUUGAGCUCACAAACUUGUGAUUCACAUAAAUUUCAAAGAAAACUAAUGGCACAAACAGAAAGUUUAUAAUUUUGCUGACCUAAAAGCAAAAAGAAUUUAAAAAUAAAGCAAAAAACCAAAAGAAAAUAAAUAAUGCAGAAAACAAAACAAAAAAACUUGAAAAAAAAAUAAAAAUAGCACUAAAGAGUUUCCAAAUAAAAUAAAACAAAAUAAAAUAUAAUAUAUAAAGCAACAAAGAAAAAAAAGAGUUUCCAAAUUUGAAAACUAAUGGCACUAACAGAAAGNNNNNNNNNNNNNNNNNNNNNNNNNNNNNNNNNNNNNNNNNNNNNNNNNNNNNNNNNNNNNNNNNNNNNNNNNNNAUAGUUUUUCUAAAACUAAAAGCAAAAAGAAUUAAAAAAUAAAGCAAAAAACAACAAAAACUAAAUAAUGCAGAAAAGAGAACAAAAAACUGGAAAAAAAAAUAAAAAUAGCAACAAUAAGUAUUUUGUUGUAAGUAGAAACAAAAUAAACUAAAUAAAGCAACAAAUAAAACAAAAAAACAAAAAAAAGUGCCACCUACUGGGCACCCACGGCCUGAAUACGACUAGAAACCCUACCAUGGGCCAGGAUUCAGGCCCGCGGGAGGCCCAGUAGGCCCACAUGCACAUAUUGCACGUUUAGGCCCGAAAGCCUGCUUUAGAGAGGAGCUUGAGAGGGAAGGCGCACCGCACCUUAUAAACUGGUGCGGCUCCCUCUCAACAAGCGAGGUGGGACUAAACUUUUCGGCGCGGGGCAGCACAAGGCCUAUGGUCCCGGUUGGUGGCACCAACCGGGACUAAAGGGGGGCAUUAGUCCCGGUUGGUUCCACGAAUCGGGACCAAUGCUCAGUGUAUAUAAACAACACUUGUGAAAAUUUUCAGUUUCAUCGCGCAUUUGCCCCCCGACGACGCCGCCAGGCUGCCCCGCCGCCAUCGCCGUCGCCCGUGCCCCCGAGCCCACGCCGUCGCCGGCCGCGCCCUCGAGCCCAGANNNNNNNNNNNNNNNNNNNNNNNNNNNNNNNNNNNNNNNNNNNNNNNNNNNNNNNNNNNNNNNNNNNNNNNNNNNNNNNNNNNNNNNNNNNNNNNNNNNNNNNNNNNNNNNNNNNNNNNNNNNNNNNNNNNNNNNNNNNNNNNNNNNNNNNNNNNNNNNNNNNNNNNNNNNNNNNNNNNNNNNNNNNNCUCUUCCUCGCCGUCGCCUCUGCCUCGCCCCGCGCCGCUUUGGUCAGGGCCGGCACCGCCCCCCUCUUCCCCCUUUUUUUUGCAAAUAUAGCUUUUUUUCCUGAUUAUGUGUGUAUAUGUAUGAGUAUAUAUGUAUAUGUGUAUAUCUGUUUAUAUGUCUUUUUUUAGAUUUUUUUGUUUUUUGCAUUUUUAUAAAAAUGUAUAUAUGUUCUCUGUGUAUAUAUAUGUUUUAUGUUCAUAGAUUUUUAUUUGAACAUUAUUUUAAAAAAACAAGCAAUACUACUUCAUGUAUUUUUAAGAAGGAAGAAGAAGAAAAAGAAUGAGAGGAAAAAGGAAAAAAGAAGAGGAAGAAAGGAGAAGAAGAGGGGAGGAAGAAGAGGAGAAAUAAAUAAGAAGAGGAAAAAAGAAGAGGAGAAGAAGAAAGGAAUAGAGGAGAAGAAGAAAAAAUAGGAGUGCGGCUAAUCUGCACCCGGGCUCAUCUGCACCCACGCUUAGAAAAAAAUUCAAAAAAAUACUAAAAAAAUUCAAAAAAUUCCAAUUUUUUUUGUGAUGGUAGAUAAUUUGACGCGUGAGGUGCGCCCCAAAAAUCAGCUCACUUGAGCAUCUGAGCAGCUCUCAGCAAAAAAGACAAAAUCAGGGUCUGUAAAAAUGUGUACUGUUCACGCACUGUUUUGACCCGAUUUGUCUUUUUUGCCGAGAGUUGCUCAGAUGUCCAAAUGAGUUGAAUUUUGGGGCGCACCUCACGCGUCAAAUUAUCUACCACCACAAAAAAAUUGGAAUUUUUUGANNNNNNNNNNNNNNNNNNNNNNNNNNNNNNNNNNNNNNNNNNNNNNNNNNNNNNNNNNNNNNNNNNNNNNNNNNNNNNNNNNNNNNNNNNNNNNNNNNNNNNNNNNNNNNNNNNNNNNNNNNNNNNNNNNNNNNNNNNNNNNNNNNNNNNNNNNNNNNNNNNNNNNNNNNNNNNNNNNNNNNNNNNNNNNNNNNNNNNNNNNNNNNNNNNNNNNNNNNNNNNNCCCCUCCCGAUAACUUCAAUACAUGGAGGGUCGAUAUACCCCCUCCCCGAUAACAUUAAUUUCUCCCGUGUAUGUAUCUCGUCAUUGUCGAUAUUACCCCCUUGAAGCGUUGUCGAUAUUAUCCCGGGUCGAGGGUUCUAGGGUCGAGGGAUCGAGGGUUCCAGGAUCGCCCAGGGGUCAAGGGUUCUAGGGUCAUCGAGGGUUCAAGGGGUCGAGGAUCGCCGAGGGGUCGAGAGGGUUCCUAGUGUCAAAGUAUUGAAGAAAUCCAUGGCUUCAUCAUUAGCCGGAAGUAACCAUGGCAUGAUGGUACGAAGUCCUCCAAAGUUAUUCUGGAAUGGAGUCCCGGAUAGGAUAAUUUGCCUUUUUGUACGAAUUUCAGCAAAGGCCUUUCAGAUAAUGAUAUUCGGAAGGUUCUUGCUGAACUUUGUACCAAAAAGUGAAUUAUCCUAUCUGGGACUCCGUUCCAAAAUAACUUUGGAGAGCGUCGUACCAUCAUGCACCUGUUACAUUCGCCUAAUGAUGAAGACAUGGUUUUGUUGAAUCCUUUGACACUAGGCAACCUCCCAACCCCUCGGUGAUCCUCGACCCCUUGACCCUCGACCGCUCAGCAAUCCACGACCCUCUACCCUACCGCGGGCGUCGAUGCCCACGUCACUUGUGGGACAUAGAUGUAGUGUUCAACGCCGACCCCCUCCCGAUAGCUUCAACACGUGGGGGGGUCGAUAUUACCCCCUCCUUGAAGCGUUCUCGAGGAGGCCCCUAACCCUUGAAGCGUUGUCGAGGCCACCCCAAACCCUAGAGAAGCAGCGUCGAGGCCAGUAAUAUGAUUCCUUAUUGUGAUCCUCUAGCUAGUUCUACGUUUGCCACUAAUAUAUCCAUAUAUGUCAUGUUUGAAUAAUAAUUGCCAUGUUGUAAAUAUUUGUAGAAACUAUGGACACGGCCCGAGACAAAGCACAAGAAGCGUUGUUGAGGGACAUAAUCGCACAAGGAAGUGAUGCCCUCGACUCGUUGAUGUUUCUCAACGACAACGAUGGUCUGGAAGGAGAGGGUGAAGAAGCAGCUGGCUAUGAUUUACAUGGCCCCGAUGACCCAAUGCCGGUGCAAGAAGGAGAGGGUGAAGAAGUAGACCGUGAGGACGGCUCCGGUGAUCACCAAACCGAGUCCGGCCAGGUAUAUAUAUUAGUUAAGCCUGUGCUGACUAGCUAAUUGAUGCAUUCAUUGUUUUGGUAUGUACACAUAUUAAUUAACUCUCGUCUUUGUUCUUUUUUCUAGCCCUCCGGAUCGAGCACAACUUUGGUAAAGAGACGAGGCCCGAAGAAAAAGUUGAGCUCGGAUGAAAAGUUUGAGAUCAUACAAAUCACGCGCGACGGCCAACCGAUUGAACCCUACCGGACAAAGAAGGCAUUUGUUGCUCAGUGCGGGGUUCUGGUUAGGGACAAGAUCCCGAUCAGCAUCCAGCAAUGGUAUAAGCCUAAGAACGAAGACCCUGAGGUGUCUUAUGUCAAUGAGAUGCAGAAAAAUAAUCUUUGGACUGAGCUGAAGUCAAAUUUCACCCUACCGCCGGAGGAUGAUCCGGAGAAGCCAGUUAUAGAGCCAUUAAUCAAGUCUUUUGCUCUGGGGAAGAUGGCAGACCUAUUCAGGAAUUGGAAGAAAGACCUCAAUAGGUAUGUCGAAAAAAAUGAGACACCAGAAUUCGUGGGCAAAUAUGAGAAGAUUAGAGAUGACUGGCCCGCAUUUGUGGCCCACAAGACAUCGGAAAAGAGUAAAAAGAUGUCGGCGACAAACAAGAGAAAUGCUCAGAAGAAGAAGCUUCACCAUCGCACGGGGUCAGGUGGCUACCUCGUUGCCCGGCCUAAGUGGGCCAAGGCUGAGAAUGAUCUCCUUGAUAAAGGGAUCGAACCAGAGACAAUGAACUGGCCAGAACGUUGCCGGACUUGGUUCUUUGGGGCCGGCGGAUCCUUAGACCCUAUAACAGGGAAGUGCAUUUGGACGGACGAAAAAUUGGACAUACCAGUCAAGAAGCUUCAGCAAUAUAUCGAAGCAGCGCAGCAAGGGAAGUUCAUUCCAGACAGGGAGAAGGACGAGCUCACAAUGGCCCUCGGCAAUCCUGAGCACCCUGGACGGACACGAGGCACGCCAGGCUCCGUUUCGUGGAAGGCUGGAUUUCCGGAUGCAGGGGGUUACAAAACCCACGAGAGGAGGAAGAAACUGGAGCAGGACCAAAUGCAGGCGCUGCUUGGAAGGGUAAUGGGGCUAGAGGAUCGAGAAAAGGAACGAGAAGCAGCAGAUCGCAACAAACGACAUGCCGAAGCUUCCCCCGAAGCUACCCCGCCAUCUCAGCGGAGAAGCAGUGUGGCUUCCACCAAGCUGCUUCAGCCAGAGCAUGCCUUGACGGCUCCUACCAGCUAUCCCGUGGAUGCUAUCAGGGAUGCUGAAAAUUGCCACCUUAUGGCGCAAUGGAGCAAUUUGAAGGUCAAGGCGGCUGUUGGCUCUGUUUAUCCUACUAAACCCGACUCAACUUUUCACUGCCGGCCGAUUCCAGAAGGAUAUGCUAAGGUGAUGGUCGAUGAAAUAACGGAGGGAUUUGAGGACCUCCAGCUUGACCACCCUACCGGUGAAGGGGAGUAUCGGCUGGGUUCUGCUCUGAAGACUCCAUGCCUAUGGCGGAAGGAUCUCAUCAACCUUCCGAACUGGACGCCUCCGCCUCCUCCUCCUCCGGUGAGUCAGGGCACUCCGCCUCCUCCACCGCCUCCUCCUCCGGUGAGUGACGAUCAGGGCACUCGGCCGGCUCCUUCUCCGGCGCGUGGCGGCACUCCGCCUCCUUCUCCGCCUGCGCCGGCGCGCCUGAGCAGCCAGCCUCCUCCUUCUCCGCCUCGUCAGCAAGGGAGGAAGAGACCCGCCGCCGCUCCGGCUUCUCCGGCGCGUCACAGUCCUUCUCCUCCACCUCGUAAGCAAGGAAAGAAGACAUCCGCUCCGUCUACUCUGCCGGCGUCUAGCAGUACAGCCAAAGGCGGGAGGAGAUACAGAUUCGGUCCUUCUCUGAAGACUCCAGAGAAGUUACCGUACGAGAGGAGCGAGGAGGAAAACGCGAAGAUCCCGCAGACCGAAGUGGAUGACUGGUUUCAAGGGUUGAAAGCAAAGAGACAUCCACCUCCGGAGGAGAAGGUAGAUCCGGUGAAAGCGAAGCGCACUCUGGCUGCCCUGACAAAACCACCCAAGUCUCCGCCGAAAGGCAACUAUGAGCGCAUUAUUGGAAAGGCAUUUGCCGAAGCGGAGAGGUCGGGAAGUACUAAAAGUGAUCAAAGGAUGAAAGAACGACGAGCUGGGAAACAAAUUGCCCAGCUCGGCGAGCAAGCGAAGCAAUCGUGCCCCCCGCUCAAGGUGCCUGCUAGCGACAUCGUCGAUCCGAGGAUGGUGCCCGGUUAUGGCAAUCCUGCAGAUUACCUGCCCGACGAUGUACAUUAUGAUAUCUUGGAGGUGCAGAUACAAAGAUACGAGUACGGGAAGCCUCUCGUCAAAGAUGAAAGUUCUCUAUCAACGAUGAUGCAAAGAUUGCAUGAUUGGUACAUGAAAAUCUGCAAAGAGUCUGAGGGGAGGAGUACUUUGUAUGUGAGAGCUAAAAAGGAGCAUGACCUCCUUGAAAUUGAACUGUUGCCUAUUCCAUUUGAGGAGUUCUAUCAGUUUUUCAAUCAAUUGGCCAUCGAUAAAGCAACGGUCAGCUCCUACUGUCUGUAAGUAGUACUACUUCCGUCAUUAAGUCUCUCUAUAUAACUCAGCCCUUUCAUUGCAUGUAUUUAUAAUUAUCCUCACUAUAUUAUGCAGAUUGAAGAUCGCCGAAUUGAAAAAAAGACAAGUGGGAGAUAUUGGGUUCAUUAACACGUAUCUCAUAGAUGCAACUGAGGUUCAAUAUCGUGCCCAAGAAACCGAGGCCAACUUGCUACGAUCGUUGGAAAUAAAUGAACACAAAGAUAUAAUACUCUUUCCUUACAACUUCAAGUGAGUGUUACUGUCUUGUGGCAUAUUCGGUUUCCUUGUUAGUCCAGGUUAUAGUAAUGUAAUAUUGAUGAGUUAUGCAUGUGUGCGCAGGUACCACUAUAUUCUCCUAGAGAUUAAGCUUGAGAAGGGAGUAGUAACUGUCUUAGACUCCAAGCGAAAAGAUCCCAAGGAGUAUGCGGACAUGACUGAAAUGCUCGAGAAGUAAGUUAAAUCGAUCAUUAUCCACCAUAUCAUCAACUUUAUUCAUUUUUUAUAUCAAGUAAUUGUUUUCUUUGUAUGGCAGGGUUGGAGAAAAUUCACCAAAAAAGCUCCGGGACUACCGAAGAAGCUGCAAUUUAGGCACCCAAAAGUAAGUACUAUAUAGUAGCAUAUUCCAGGCAUCUCCUAGUGAUUCAAGCGCUAGUUUCAUCAAUACCAUUUAGCAUGCUUGCUAAUUAUCAGUUUGAUUGACCUCUAUUUCUUGUAAAGUGGCUGUGGCAGGAACAAGGGAAUGAUUUCUGUGGAUACUACAUUUGCGAGUCCAUCCGCCACACGACCUGUGAGCGGGGCUACUCCAACAAACAAUAUGAAGUGCGUAAAUAACAAUAUUCACAAUUUUAUUUUAUUACCAUCAUUUGUGUUGAGUUUCAUUCAUUCAUAUAUAUAUGUAUUGACCCCCUUCUUAAAAUUAGAUGUUUCGGAUGCGGGAUGAACUCCUAGCACCAGAUCGCAUGUGAGCAAUUCAAGAGGAAUUGGCGGCAUUCUUUCUUGACCACGUGAUCGCUGAAGACGGAGAAUACUAUGUGGACCACGCGUCCGUAUUUUAGGAGAUUAUAUAUUUGUAAAAGAUAAUUAUUGUAUAUAUGUAGCCGGUAGUGUCGGAUAGAUAUACGAGAACUUGUUGUUCGACCUCGGAGAAGGAGAGGUGGUCGAUAUCACUUCUCUCUGUAUGCAUAUAUGUUCAUGACGAUCUUCUGUUUGCUUACUAGCUAGCUAGCGUGUCUAGCUAGUCCUCUCUAUACGUAUGUAUGGUACGUAGCGUCGACCAAGCACGGACAAAAGAGAGGACACUUCUCUCUAUUAAUUAGCUAGCUAUAGCACAAUAAAUGAAACACCUAAAUUAACCCCCCAAAACCCCCCAAACCCCCCCCCCCUUUUAAAAAAAAAACAAAAACCCCAGCCACAGAAAUGCUGACGCGUGGAUGCCUAUUGGUCCCGGUUGGUGCCACCAACCGGGACCAAAGGCCCUCCUGCCUGGGCUCAGCGGACAGGCCACGUGGAGGCCCAUCUGUCCCGGUUCUGGAUUGAACCGGGACUAAAGGGUCAGGGCAUUAGUACCGAACCUUUAGUCCCGGUUCAUGAACCGGGACUAAAGGCCCUCACCAACCGGGACUGUAGGCCCUUUUUCUACUAGUGUUACUGAGGCAGCGCUGGGCCAUGUUGUGGUGAGAACAUACGAGAGAUAAUUGGGGUGUGUGGCUGAUUGCUUCAUAUGCUGCUAAUGAUAUAUGUAGACUGCUGAUUGCUCCUGAUAUACAGUGUCGAUUGCAGCUGAUAGUAGGAUUGUACUCAAUUUGAUAGGUAAAGUGGGAUGUCUUGAUUGUAUAGUGCUCAUAAGCCAGUCCGGGCAUUGUCCUUCCUCGAAUGAAUCUGAGACUACUCCUCAUAUGUUAAUCAGUUGCUCCUCCCUAGCUUUGGUUUUGUCUGAACUUCCAAGUUUUCAUCCACCCAAUGUUGAUUCAGUCAAAGAUCUCUUGGAAAAAUUAUUUCGACAAGAUUCACUCUAUAAUGUUGUUAUCAUUGUCCUCUGGAAUAUAUGGAAGCGCAAAAACUCCAAGGUCUCCCGGGAUGUUUUUGAGGAAUUGCACAUUACUGCUAGCAAGAUUGCUGAUGAUUGAUACCAUGGUCCAACAGGUAUUCACAUGAAAUUAAUAAAUGGCACCUUACGGAUUGGAGUACUCUACUGUAUCACUAUCUGGGAGAUUUUAAUUUUUUCCUUCUAUUAUUUAUCUUAAUCCCUGUGUACUCAUUGGACUUUGUAUAGUUCUUAGUUUUAUGAAGUGGUUCAGGCUGGCGUAAGCCGCCAUAGUCCCAGUAAAAAAAGGCUACAAGCUUCGCUUCGGCCUUUCGGAACUGAAUAUUAUGUAGUUUUAUUGAGAUUAUUGAUAACGCUUCUCUACUAUCAAAGAAGGUAAUAGUCUCUUAUGUGUUUCUUUUUGUCCAUUUGAAUGCACUCCAUUUUUUAGUGUAUUAAUUAACAUCAAACCUCCCAUUCUUUCUAGAGUGCUGAUGUAUUAUUAUUUUCAGCUUAACACAUUUAACUUCCUAUAGAUUUCAUGGUUUAUGCAGAUUAACCGAGCUAAGAAUUUUUGUGAAGCUAAACCUGGUGUUAAGAUGAACGCUGCUAUGUAUAUAUUUGAAACAGUUAGAUACAUGCUUGACAGACUAUAUAGGGGUGAUCAAAACCAUGCGAAGCAUUAUGGGACAAGUUUCUCUACCUUAAAUAAGUGUUCGUUCUCUCGUGUUUACUAUUCGUUUAAGGGUCAUCAACCCGUGUAUUUAUUUUCAUUGACCAAGUUUUACAUUUUUCUUCUGUAGUGUUCAUUGUGCAGUUCUAGAUUGUUAAGAGAGUAGAGUUUAUUGAUUUAUUACAUGGAGAGACCAGUAGUGUCGUAGUGGUCUUGACAUAAUUGCUAACAUUUUCUACUAGACAAAGUUUAAUUGCACUAAAUACAAAUUAGAACAUGCAUAGACAUUUAUCUUCUUUCUACAGAAUGGUUAGUGUAAACGUACUUUGAGUUGUACAUGAUUCUGUAUCUGACCAUUUUAUCUCAUAUGUUGAUGUGGUUGCAGAUAUGAACUUCAAAUUAUCCUGCAAUGUAUUGACUGCUCGGAGCUAACUUGACUACGCCAGUUUUCUUUUAUGGCUCAAAGUAGUUAGUGUCCCCCCUUAUUAUGAGAGAGGUACUACUUCAAACAUCUCUUCUUAAUGUUUUAUGUCAUGGCAUACAAUAUGAGGGAGUGUUAGUUGGCUUGACUUUCGUGGCACUCAUUAACAACCUUUCAGUUUAGGAGUUUUUGUGGCCUCUUAAUCCAUGAGAGUAUGCUCAUGUUGAAGAAGUUAGUCAUAAUGAGGGGCACCAUAAAUGUUUGUUAUCUGGCACAAAUUCCUAAUGAAUAUCACAUGUGAACCUUUUACUGUUGUGUUAAUCAAAUUUCAUUGUACUAUUCAUACAGUAAAAUAUGAGUGCCAUGUCAGAAUAUGGUUCUCGAUCUGAAAGAUCAUAUUGGAAAUUGCAGGUUCUAUGGCAGUGGAGUAAUGUUCGUAAAUUAUAUAUUGCUUUCAUGUUUGGAGCUGGAAUAAUAUAUGUGAUGCAUUUAGUUAUAGUCUUAUAGAUAUACAUGAACAUCCAUUGUAUAUUUCUUGCACGACAUGAUAACUACUAUUAUUUUGAUUGUUUCCGUGAACUAUUUUGACCUUGAUUAAGAAGUAAAAAGUUUUUAGCCUCGUAGGUUGUUUGAUCUACUAUAUCAAGUGGCACCUGGCUUCUCAUGGCUCUCCUCGCAUUUGCCAAAACAAAGUUAGCACACACUACCUAGAGCUCUGGAAAUUAGAACUGAAAAAUGGUCCUGUGGUUUAUUAGCUGAUAUAAAUCAUGCACAAUCCUCUACAUUUAAAAAUAACCGGACACAAAGCAGUAUACUUUUUUCCGAGUACUAUCUUGAGAGAGCCAAGGGGUUCUGCAUUUUAUAAAGAAGAAGAAAGUUGCGUGGUUCCAUACAUGCUUAUCUAAGAAAUAUAUCUUAUCUAUUUAGUGGAAACCAGGCAAAAACCUACAGAUACAAAAGGCACAAAGUCCCCCACCGGUUGUGACCGAACUACUGUUUUUGGAAAUAUCACAUGAGCUAGAUUACUAACAUUGAUGUAAUGCUUGUAUGGCAACCUAUUCCUUUAUUGGUUCAAUUACAGAGUUUUGUUAUUAUGUGAAUGGAGUAAUGGAGAGCUAAGAAAAAACAAGGUAACAGUUAGUGUUACUCUUGCGAGGUAGUUUCAAUCAUAUCAUUGUUUGCUUUCCCUUUUCUCCUGCCUAGGUAUGUACAAUUAUUCCAACCCAGGUUUCUUUCAAGAAGCAUAGGUAUGUGUUUGAGGAAUGUCUACAUGACAAAACACACCUUCAAGUUUGGUGAUAGUUAUGCUAUCAAACUUACAAUGGGGGUCUUAAUUUGUAUUUUUAAUAGAGCACUGGGUUCAUUUGUGAGACUUGUGAGGAUGUGCCUAGGCUAAAGAUGGCUGCUAUGUCGGUACCAAGUGGCAUGUGUUUAAAUGGAGUAUCCUUGUCAGGAGAGCUGAUUUCUGAAAUAUGGUACUUUAUGGGUGCAAGGAUUCACCAUGUUGCGGUCUUCGUCAGCGGAGUGGACUCCUAGGAAUUAGUCAAGGCCGCUAUGUUGUUUUAAGCUGAUAUUCUAUCGUACUUGUAUAUUUUUUUGCUUAUCUAGCUGUUUGCCAUGCAGUUCUCGUUGUUGGUGGGAACAUUUGUUGUCUAAGAUCGACCUCAAAUAUCUGGUGGCACUAUAGCAUGGCUUUUGAUAUUCUAAUGUAUAUCUCUUACAAAAUAUUUCAAGAGCCCGUGGCAACGCACGGGCAUUAUACUAGUGUAAGUAAGGAUGGAGAUGAAGAUGGUGUGGCGACAAGGAUAUAACAAAACGACUGGUUCCUUCAGCCAAAAGUUGGCGACGUUCCUUGUUACACACGCUCCGCCCAACAAACGCUCCAAAAGCCAAAAUACAAUUCCUCAAAUAAUGGCCAAAGACUACUUCCCCACAUGGAAAAGAAAUACGCACAUGGCGUUACAAUGUUAGCUACUCAUGUCUGAGUUCCUAAACCCUUGCAAAACAGAAAGAAAGGUUGUUUGCUAAACAAAAGAAAGGCCAACACAAUCCUAUCCAAACACUCCACAUUUUUACUAUGUGUCAAAAAUAUGCAACUUUUUUUUGGUUUUUAGGUACAUGCCAAUUUUUUUUUUGAAAAACACAAUUUUUUUAUGUUCACACGCCAAGGUAUUUUGUACACAUGGCAAAAUUUUCCGAAGAAGAAAAAUCUCACGACCCCAUGGAUAAUUCAUAACUUUUUGUCUUUCAAACAGGGCAAUUUUAAGUCAUUUUGUAAUGCUAUUGUGGCAAACGAUGGGAUUUUUAAUCAAUUUUCAUGGCGAAUUUGGGAUUCUUUUCCCUACUUUUCCACAUGGCAAUUUUAUUAUGAUCAAAAUGGAGAUCUUAUUAUUCAAAACAUGGCAGCUUUACUAUUAAGAGCAUGGAAAUUUAAGUAUGAUAGAAUCUCCUCCCCUGCUCGGUCUACCCCACAUGCAUGGCGUAUAACAUCCUCUAGCCCCAACUGCCGCCAAACCUCUCUAGCCUUAUGGCAUCGAAAUAGUACAUGAAACACAUCUUCUGCUCCUUGUUUACAUGCAGGACACGUCGGCCGGACUGGUAUGUGUCUAUUAGCAAGAACCACAUUGCAUGGCAGUGUUCCGUGUAAGGUUCUCCGAAGAAAUUUUUUAACUUUCGCCGGACAAUUCAGUUUCCAAACCUUUUCCCAUGUUGGGUUAGCACUAGUGGCUCCCAAACCAUCUGUCCUCUGCAAUUUACGGCCAUGCUGAAAGUACCAUAGAGCAUGGUAGGCCGAUUUCACUGUAAAAAUUCCAUGUUUAUUCAAACUCCAUGCUACAAAGUCACUCAUAUCAUGUGUAGGUAGUGGUAAAGCAAGGACCCGUUCAACAUCAAUCGGCCAGAAGGUUUGCUCCACAAGUGGCACAUCCCAGUGACCUGUAGCUGAAUCAAUUAAAUCACUCACCUUUGAUAGUAACUGGUUACCUCUUGGGGCAAUAAUCAUUCUGGAUGGUGAGUUAGGAAUCCACACAUCCCUCCAAAUAUUUAUUUUUUCACCAUCCCCAACUCUCCAAAUGUAUCCAUGUUUCAGGGUAUUCACCCCUUGCAUAAUGCUCUGCCAAGUGUAGGAGGAAUUAUUUUUUAGCUUAAUUAAUUUACCAGCACAAGAAGCGGCCGUGCUGGGAGUGAAAAACUUCCAUGACUUGAUGUUCACUUGCUGCUGGUACCUUUGGUGGGAGAGGAGAAAGCUUGUGCACAAUGAGCCGGUACAAGAUGCGAAGAGAACUGCACAAGCGGUAUGUGCUUUAGCUGCUAACUAUGCUAUUGCAUGUGAUCCAAAGGCCUCGUUAAAGAGGGGAGGUUGGUGCAAACCCCCUAGUGGAUAUGUUAAGUUAAAUGUUGAUGCGGCCUUUGAUUGGGAUUUGCUUCAGGGGGCAAUGGGAGCAGUCAUCCGAGAUGGUAGAGGACAUAUGGUUGUAGCUGGAAACAAGCUCAUUGAUUCCUGUUAUGAUGUACUAACUGUUGAGGCAAUGGCUCUGAAGUUUGGGUUGAAUAUGGCGCUCACAGCUGGGUGCAAUAGACUGAUUGUCAACUCGGAUAAUCUGGAACUCAUGGAAAUAAUGAAUAAGGAUGGCCAAUAUGCUGGAGAUGUCGCGGCCAUUGUCGAUGAUUGUUAUCAUCUGGCUUGCGAAUUUAGCUCUAUUGUCUUCGAAUUUUGCCCCAGAGGGUCGAAUGGGGUUGCACAUGAACUAGCUAGGAUUGCUAGAAGUUCGCUUUGUAAUGAGUGGUUAGAUAAUGCUCCUUCUGAGCUUCUUCCCCUACUACUUAAAGAUGUAAGUCUGAUCACGAAUGAAUAAAGAGGAAGUAAAGUUGUCAAAAAAAAAAGAGCAUGGCAAUUUUAUUUUUAAUGGCAUGUCAUUCUUACCUUUUUUUUGAGAAAAGCAUGUCAUCUUUAGUAUGUCCUUCUCGCCUGCUAUAUGAAGUAGGCGGACCCUAGAUGGGCUUUCCCAAUAUGGGUUCCUGGGACCGGGUUCCUGCAGAGUUUCUUUUCCUUGUCGUCUUGUGUGUUUCCUUGGCCAAUUUUCAUAUUUUUGUUUGGUUUUCUGUCUUAUGUGUUUCUUUAUGGAUUUUAUUUCUUUCUCAAUACAUGUACAUUUUUCUAAAUACACACUGUAAAAAUUUACACAUCUUGAACAUUUUUUAUUAAUUGGCAUAAACCUAGUUUUGGAGUGUGUGAGCAUUUUUUAAUUGUCAUGUACAUUUUUCUGAAAGGCAGUAUUUAUUUUGUUGAAUUACGUGAGCAUUCUUUACACAUCUUGAACAUUUGUCCAUAUUUUUUUGAAACACAUGAACAUAUUUUUGAAUGCUAUAAACAUUUUUUAUAUCAUGCUGCAUUUGGUCUAUAUUAGUUUAAACUAAGUCAGUGACAAUUAAUAUGGAUCAUAGAGAGUACAAUUUUGUACAUGAUGUUUAUACUUUUAUAUUUCACUUCCAAUAUUUUUUAUUUAUUAAACUCUAUUGUGUUUUUGGAAUAAGUGUAUUUAGAACAUAUUUUUUAAAAUUUAAAUAAAAUGGAGCGAAUGAAGAAGCAGAGAAGAAAAACGAAGGCCGGCCAAAUGUAUGGCGUUCCCUGCCUCAUACCUGCAAAUCAAGCUAAGCAGCGGGUGAUAAUUUUUUACACAAUGUUUAUAGUUUUCUAUUUCACUUUGAACAUUUCAAAAUUUUAAGGAAAUUAUUAUUUUUAAAUAAAUGUUUUUAGUUUUUUAAUAAAAAGGUGAAAAAAAGGAAAUUGAGCGAAUGAAGAAGCAGAGAAGAAAAACGCCCUUUCUUUCAUCAACUGAACUGCGUGCGUGCAUGGAAGGGCUAUCAUCUGCACUUAAGAGGAGUGACUUACCUAUCAUUGUGGAGAUGGACUCUAUUCUUGCAGUCAAACUGAUCCAAUCGAGGGAUUUGGACAAAUCUAUUUAUGCUUGGGUAGUUAAGGUGAUCAAGUAUGUUUUGGGGAUUCGUGGUUCUUGUAUUACUCAUGUUAAUCGCUCUCAAAAUAAAGUUAGCGACUGCUUAGCUAGAUUUGUUAAAUUAGAAGGACAAACCAUGACUUGGGUUGGUUUUGGUCCAGAUGUUGCUGUUGAGCUAACUGUUGCUCAAUGUAUGGACACCAUGAGUUGAGUAAUGCAAAAAAAAAGUUUGCGCAGAAUUAUUUUCGAUUUUUUUGAAAAUUUUAAAUAUGUUUUUUUUUCUUUUCAAAAAAAUACCACACAAAUUUGGCAUUCAUUCCCUGCUUCAUAUCUCUACUCCUAAUGGACGACUUGGUGAAUAGUCUCCAUGGUUUAUUUUCGCCGGGUUUUUUUCGUCAUCCUCCCACCUCACGGUUUCAAAAAAACAACCAAAACCAGAGGCCCGUCCCACGAAACGAAACCCAAUUUGCCCCCGUACCACCACUCCUCCCUCCCCCUCGACCUCCCUUGUCUAGGAUUCCCCGCCACCACUGCGGUAGCCGCCGCCGAAUCCUAGGUCGCCGCACACCGUCGCCGCUGCCGCGAAUCCCCAGGGACGCCGCACGCCACCGCCGUCGUGAAUCACCAGAGACGCCGCACGCCGCCGCCGCGGAUCCCCAGGGAUGCCACCGCCACCGCCGCGGAUCCCCAAGGGCGUGGUCGCGUUGUACUAGACAAAGUGUGGUCGCCGCCGUCCUCUCCUCGUCCGACCUUGACCUCAUCCCUUCGACUCCGGUGACUCCUCUGUGGCCCGGUGGAUGCCAACUGUCAUGGAAUUUUCACGGCAGAUGUUGUAGUGUGAGGACUUCGUCGUGAGGCCAACACAUCUACGCGGUAGCUUGAAGGGGUUGGUCGAAAUCGAGAGACGCGAGGCGGAUCAACAUACAAGACAAGGAUUUAGACAGCUUCGGCCCCGGGAAACAUCAUCCGUUAAUAGCUACAUGUUGUUUGUGGCUAGGUCUCAUUAUGCUCGCGAGGGAGUCACCGUAAACCGGCUCUCCUAGUUAUGUCUAGCCCUAGAGAUUGUUUCUUGUUGCUUGUGCCUCUUUGGGGAGCCUUGUCCCUCCUUAUAUAAGUUAGAUGGGCGGGUUACAUGUGCAGUCCUAUUAGGAUUAGGACUAGUCUACCUUCUAAUACAAACCGGAUACAAGUCCAGGUCUUAACUCCUUGUAAGACAAAUAUUUCUCACGCCUUUCCUCUUAAACCGGCCCACCAUAACAUGAGCCGGCCUUCUGGGCCUUGGGCCUUGUCAUCCGUCUGUCCCGCCCGUCGGGUUACCAGUGAAUCAUAAUGUUCAGUCAGGUUGCUUGUAAACCAUCUGGUCAGUGUGGGUCGCCGGUGAAUCGCCAAGUCCGGCCAGGUUACGCCGCGGGGUAUAUCCCCGACAUCUCCCGUGAUAUCUGACGAUAUAUUUACAAGUAAUGCGCAUGGAUGGUUCAUCCGUGAUUUUAGGGUGGGUUAGUCGGUUGGAAGAUUUGUUAGUUAGCCUACUUAAAGGUAGCACGACGCUUUGGUGCUGUUGUUAGGGUUUGCUAACCCAGCGGAGGAGUCCCUAGUUCUUCUCUUACCCAAAGGAUUACGACCACCGUCUGUCAUUGCCGCAGUCGCCUGACACCAAAUCAACCAUGUCAUCGUCGAGCUCGAUUAGGUGCGCGCUGAGGGGCCGAUCAGUUGAUGUGCCCCUGAUCCCUUGCCCUGACUGUGGCGAAACGGGUAGAUUCUAUCUCUCUAGUACCGAAGAGCAUGAUGGUUGGGUGUUCUACAAGUGCAAACACCACGAUGUACAAUCCCUUUACACUUUGGGUUGACAUUUACUGCAUGAGUAAUUUUUUCUACUGUUUCGUUAGUGCUGGUUUGAUUUGUGUUCACUUGAUUCAUAGGAUCCAUGUGAUUUCUGGCGCUGGGAACUAGAGUACGUGGAUCAUCUUGUUGGUACAAGUGUCCUUGUUGGUGCUUAUGCCCUUGAUGCAAUGGCUGCGACACAGGAUAGAAGGGAACAGCUACAUCGCGCAAAACAACAGUGGGAAAAGACUGCAUGUACCAAGAGUGGCAACAUUGGAGGCAGGACAAAUUACAGCCAGAGAAAUGUGGCAACCAUUACGAAGCACCAAGCUUAUACGAUGUUAGGACUAGGGAGACAAAUUGUUUUCAUGCCGAAGCUGUUGACGGCUAGUGUAAUGGUGUUGUGUGUGUGGUGUGUGAUGUUGAUUGUGAAGAAAUAAUAUAUUUGUGAUCGUAUCAAGGCGAUUAUCAUGGUUACAUGUAAUAACAGCUUAAUAAGAAGAUGUGUUCUAACAUGAUAACUCUUAUAUGCCCCCCAACCCUAUUUUAACAUGACAGGUAAGAGUAAGAAAUAAAUCUUACACGAUGAUUCCAUGAAAUAGUUGUUUUGAUUAUUUCUUACCUUCUUGACUAUUAUGAGAAAAUAAGAGGUAAGACGGAGCAUGUUAAAAUUGCUAAAAAAUAAUGAAUAAACCGAGUUGCAAUGAAGGCAAACGAAUGGAAAAACGUAAACGACCAUUUAAAUUCUUGCCCACUAUGUUGUGCACGAACACAAGAGUACCAUGAAAUAAAAAUAAAGUAUGUCAUUACACCAAUGACUUAAAAAUCCCUUAAUUUAUUUUCGCACACUAUGUUUUGCCAAAACUACUCUAGAGGCACAUCAGGAACAUGGGAAACAAAUAGAUAAAUCCCAUGAUCUCCCUAGUACAACAACAUUAGCACCUUCUGUCCUAACAGCAAGAGGUUUUCCUUCUUCAUGAACUCGUUCCAUUUGUUGACGCAUACAUGACCAUCAAUAUCAGAAAUGGUGUAUGUACUUGACACAACACUGUGUGGAUGAUAAACAAUGGUUAUGGCACCAUAUUCCUCCAUUUCUUCAGGGACAACACGAUUAGGCAGUUUCUGUUUGAAAACAAUAUUUGUUACAUCAGCACGUGGCAACUUAAUGUUAUGUAGUAAAGGAAGAACAAUUAAUUUGGAACAAAGCUAAAAACAUAUUGAAAUGACACAAAGUGAAUGAAGUACCAAAAGAUGGUUACCGAGAAGUUCUUGUUGCAAUUUGACCAUGUCAACGUAUGGAGGAAUGCAUAUGCUCUCCCUGAUCAUAGUUUCCAGCAUCAUGACACUCCACUAACUUUUAAGGUCCAUCACUUGGCGUAUGACAUACUCCAUUAUUCUCCAGUUUAAGCUUGUCCCCUCAGUUACAACGACAUUGUCAAUAAUAUCUCUUUUCUCAUUGGACAAUUGGUAGUAUGCUACAAUAUUAUAGCACAGACAAUUUAAUUUAUUAUAUAUGGUAUAUGAUAAAGUUAGAGUAAUAAAACUUGCAGGAGCAAAAAAGUAUCUUACUCAGAUGUAUGAUAGGCAAAUUCCUAGUUGUCAAUACGCUACUUGGUACUUCUGAAUUGUCAGUACUGAACAUAAUCUCCUGACCCACAUGUAGCGUGUAAACUCUAACAAAUUCCUUCCAAGACUUCCCUGAAAUGUAUGUCAACUCAUUGUCAUUGGUAAUCACACAUGGGAAUUCAAACCCCUCAUUGGUACUGAAACUUGCUUCAAAGUUCCCAUAUUUUCCCAAGGACACGCCAAAUUUCUGUGUGAAACUGUAUCUGUCGUAGCAGGGAUUACCUGAGUAGCAUAUCUACGAUUGUUAAUAUAUAUGAACUGCCUGUUAAUCUAAAGAAUUUGUCUAAUCAUAGAUGACUAGCAUAGUAUAGUUCACUACUUCUUAGCAGUAUUAUCAUAUAACCCCAUAGAAGAUUUAAAUUAACAUGCACGUACACAAAACCAUUUUAUCAUCUAAGAAAUCAAGAUGCAAUAUAACUCUUUUUGCAGUAAACAUUACGAACAACUGAGAGAGUACAAAGGGUCCGAGUACAAUAUUCGUUCAAUAUUACUGCCUCCGUCCAAAAAUUUGUGGACAAAAUUUUGUACAUACGGAUGUAUCUAUGUAGAAAACAUGACGAGAUACAUGUGUAUCUACAUGGAUCUAACACAUUAAUUUUGGAUCGGAUGGAGUACUAAAUUUCUCAUGAUAUUUGCUACGGGUCAUGUCAGACUGGAUCUUACUGUCUUGUUUGCAAAUCCCUCGCGCACGGUGACGGUACAAAACUCCCUCAUACAAUGCUCACCGGGGCACAAACCCUUGGUGUCCAAACAAAUGCCACACUCCAAAUCGAGAUCAAUCUCAUUACUAGUAUGUACAGUCUUAAAGAUUAGUGCUAGCAGUUGAAUUUAGAUCUGACAGAUUCUAUAGUGCAAAUACGUACCGCGCUGAUCUCCUUAACCAUUUUCACAAAGGUUCUCAACGGCGGCAGCGCGUGUACCGCAUCGACUCCAUGGAUGGAAUCCAGUUUGAACCAAUGUUCGCACUUGGUAUGGUGUCAAUUAGGUCCACCCUUAGGCAAAGAAGCUUGAAGGCAUCAUGUGCUACCACUUUCGAUGGUUGUCUAGGGGGGUAGACCGUCUGGGAGGAAAUGAAAAAAUCAUGAAAAUCAUGUGUAACCUUGAACACACUGUGCAUGCAUGCUUGAUUUGGUUCAUGGGAUGGCAUCAAAAUAACUCAGAAUCCUAUGUACAUGGUGUAUUGAAGGAGAUGGCCCGAGACGGGCCCUUCCGGGCUAUCCUUGUACCCUCCGAAAGCACGUGUUGGUUUAUUGACCUAUAUUAAAUGACCGUCAAGUUUGUAGGGUUACAAUCCAUGGCCAUGUUAGGGAUACAUAUGCCAAGUUUGAAGCAUUUUCAUCUAAGUUUGCAAGUUUUUUCUUGUGUAAAUCUUAGUCUAAACUGAGAAGCAUCACUACAAGAAAUAUGCUAUCUUGUAACCUCCACUAUUGGUCACUGAAAGGUCAUAGUUUUUCAUUUGUGACCUUUUUGCGACAAAAAAUAGAAGGUCAAAAGCUGAGGGUCGUAAACUGACUAUAGUGACCUUCUCACAACGACCUUCUCUAUGAGAAGGUCGUGGACGUUUAUGACCAAAAUAUUCCUACUGUGGCGUUUUGGUCACUAGCAGCCUCCCCAGUCCACGUAGGCAUCCAGCGUGGCAAGCUGAUGUGGCACCAGAUUCAGCCCGGUCCAAUUCGGUUUUCUACAUGGACCUAGCCCAUUAAUUCAGCCCAUUUAGUAUAUUUAUUUUUGUUAAUUUUGUUCAGCUACAUGGGCCAAGCCCAACUAGUCAGCCCAUAAAUUUUUAUGCACGUUUGGCCUUUCAAGAAUAUAUAUACAAUUUUGUGCAGCCCAUUUCUGGUUUACAUUCAGCCUUUUUAUACAUUCAAAUAAUAAUUCAAUCCUGAUGUUGGUCCAAUACUCUUUUCAGCCCAUUCACAUAUUCGUACAAAUGAUCCUCCUUUUCGACAAAAUUUGCAAAUAAUUUCAUAUUUCAGCACUAAAUAUGUUUACAUCACAGGCCAUAAAGCCGUACAAACUAGUAUCACUUGUUCCUAUACAAAACUAUCAAAUGAUACAUACAACAAAACAGAAUACAGAAAAUUUAGUUCAACAAAAAUAAGUUUUCUUCCUCUUCCAUCUUCCAGGACACAAAACACCUGUGAAAGUAAAGAUGCCACAACAAAAAUGGAAGGAUCAGCCAUUAGAAGCAUAUUGAGUACAAGGGAAACACGCACUGUGAAAUUUUUGACAGCACGAAUAUUUUUUAUAUUAUAAUAACAAACAGAAAUGUAAUCUGAUUGCAUAAGACAUAUGGCAUUAUCAACAAGACAAAGCAAAAUUUAUAGUGCCAACUCGGGAAUAAGAUAAAGCAAAAUUUAUAAAUCUAUAGCAUCGCACACGAGGUCUAAAUUUAUAAUAUGUUCCUUUAGAAGCAAGAGUUGGUUCGUGUCUAGCUUUUAUUGCAGAUAACUAGUAAAUUUCCACAAAAAAUAGGAGCGACAUAUGUUUUAAUCUCGUGUUUGCAGUAUAUAUUCACAACAUGUAAGAAUACUUUGAUUAACAAACUAACCAACCAUCAACUAACACUUCACAGUACCAACUAACACUUCAUAGUACCAACUAACACUUCACAGUACCAAAAAAAUGGGGUGGCGCUCACCAAUUCAGAUGUGCAGCAGCCAUGAGGGCUUCUUCGUGUUCCACCUACAGCAACGGCAACUUCUACAAAUCUGAGACACAAAACAAACGCAUGCAGAAGGAAUCAGAGGGAGGGGAGAUGAAGAACAUGGCAGGCAUUUAUAUGAUGGCAGUACAUAUGGAACAAACAGCAGUCCAUACUUGCAUCAUCAUGUGUAUAACAAAAUCACGGUCGCCUCUACAGAUAGCACUACUAGAGUAGAGAGCCAAGCAUAAUAAUUCUACCAGGAGACAAUGUAAACACAGAGUCACACCAUUGACAGAUUAAGCCUUACAACAUGUUUGGUGGCUCAGUGGGUGAUGUAUGCAUGCACAAAAAGGGGGGCAAUUUUUCAAUCAAACUGAAGAAAAACACACAUCAUUUAGUAACCAGUACAAAUCCCGGUAGCUGUAGGUGCAUGCAUUGUGUAACAAUGAGUAAUCAAUAGCAUUUCAGAGUUGUGCAGUUACUAGUGUGUCGUCCUCUGUUUACCACACCACACAUGGGCAUGAGAAAAUUGCUAAAAACCACUGAUCGUGUGCUAAUCUACUUGGAAAAUUAUAUGUUUGAAAAAGAGCAGCUUGCAUCCUUUUUAUUAACCUACAAAGCAUAUGCGGUCACAGAAAGCAGUACUAAAAUAGAAAACACAAAGCAGUAGAAUAAACUAUGCACAUGUACUCGGCAGCCCACUCACAUUACCAGCUCCCUUAUAGAAAUAGCAAUCAUUUUAAAAGCAUCAUGACAGAUGUUAGCAACUGAACAUCUAAGGCUAAUCCAGCAGCAAAUGAACAUAGUGAAGAAUUUAUUUGCAAAGAACACAAAAGGCGGAAGAAAAAUUACAUGUUGAAGCAGCCGUGUUACUUGACGUCCUGCAACAGAUAACACUUGACGAUUAGAACCACUAUAAUUCAAACAGAGAAACAAAAAUGCCAAACUUAAGCAUAACGAAUGCACUGACCCUAUUGCGGCCACAUUUUAACCACUAGUGUUGUGAUAUAGACAAGAUAGUCAGCCGCUUACAUGGUAAAAGGAACAUGGCAGCACUAAGUUACACAGGAAUGUCCAGUAGGAGAUAUGAUCUGAUAGAUCCACAGAAACAACUCAGACCAGAACAGCACUAAGUGUUCACUCACAAAUUGGUACUAGCAUAGAGAUUUUCGUAUGCCUAGAACCUGUGGCAAUACAUGUUGACGUAUAUGCAAGGGUAUAUAUAUACUCGUAUUUGAUAGGACUAACAACACAUGAAUCAAAGAUAAUCACAAUCAGCCGCGUAAUCUACCACAAACCCAUGGUAACAGACACCAUUACACAGCUACACCAACAGCCUACCGAAGCAAAACUCCAAAUCGGAUGAAAAAUUAACUAGGAUGGGAUCUGACACUGGCAUCAACUAACUAGGGAACAGCCUAAACAAACACCGUUGAGAAUGGUGCCGAAAUGGAUCAGAUGACGAAAUUGGCUUACCCGGCCUCCGGGUACUGCUGCUUGAACUCGAGGUGGUGGGAGGCGACGGGGCUGGCGUGGCGGUCGUAGAUGAUGAACCUGGUGCUGGUGGUGCCCUGGUCGAUCGACGCCACGUACACCUCCUCUGCCUUCCCCUUCCCCGCCAUACUCCUUCCCCUUCCCCUUCCUCCACACGCCCCAGAGCAUGCUCGCCGGAAAAACAAGUGCCGAACCCUCUGCCGGCGGGCAAACAGAGGGGGGCGGCCGGAGCAGCGGACUGAGCCGGUGGAACAAGCGAGGAGGCGGUCGGCGUUGAAGUGGGAGGCAGUGGGACGCAGAUCCUGGUCGUCCUCCUCCUCAUUGUCGAUGUCGUCCAUGGAGGUCACCUGCCAGUUCAAAUCCAACCCAAUAAAGGGGAUCAGACAAGGAAGUAGAGAGAGGAUCUGGGCUGGGGAAGGGGAAGUAGAGACAAGGAAGUCAGCGUCGCGCUCGGCGUACUUGUCGGCCUUGAGGUAGCGCGUGAUGCGGCCGACGGGGAACUGGAGCCCGGCCUUGGACGACCGCGACACCGACUUGGUCUCCUUCGCCUUGCCGCGGCCGAGGUAGCGCGCGAUGCGGCCGAGGGGGAACUGGAGCCCGACCUUGGACGACCGCGACACCGACUUGGUCGCCUUCGCCUUGCCGCGGCCGAUGACGCCUCCGGUGGAACUCAUCACCGAUUCGCCUUUGGGGGAGGUCCGGACGCGGUUGGUGACGACGAAGGAGAAGACGAUGAAGACGCGGCAGGAGCAGCGCCUCCAGCGCGAUGACCGGCCGCUCCAGGAACCGCUCGCAGUCGGUGGUGGCGGCCCGGUGGCUCAGCCAGAUGCCGCCGCCGAGGACGACGAGAGGGACGAGGGGGAUCUGGAUCGGGGGAGAGGAGGGAGGGAGAGAACGAAAGAAAGAAAGAAGGCGGGGGGUGGAUGGAAGAUGCCAGCUAGGGUUUCGCCUCAGGCGGGGACGCAAGGAGCGACGGCUACCGUAGGAUCCGGGAGGAUCUGAUGGUGUUUUGUGCAUGAUCCGUGUGCCUUGUCCACGGACCAAUCAGAACGCAAUACAAUAUUAUGUCCAAUUGAAUUGGUCGUGAUAAAUUUAAAAAUAAGAUGUUAGAUCAUCUUAGCUAUUUACUUGACCUGAUAAAUUGGAAAAAUAUGAAACAAAUGAAAAACCUUCUCAUCAUGUCAUCAAAUGUGACCUAGUUUUUAGAAGAAAAAAAUAACAAAAUAGUAAUAAGGAACUUUUCAUUUUCUUUGCACGAAAAUUCAUUUUUCAUUGUUCGAGUGCUCAAAAUGAGUUUUUUGUGAAGAACAUACCAAAUAUUUGUUGCAAAAUUGUAUCAAAUCAUUUUUCUAAAAUACUAUACCAUAUUUAAUGUACAAAUAACCAAAUGGUUGGCUGUCAAAACUUUUAAUCCACCUCUCGUGAAAAAGACAAAUUUCCGCCGAUUUAGUUGAAAGCUGGUCAAAUUUGAACUACAGCUGCUUCAUAGUUUGCUAUUUAUUUUUUCCAAAAAUAAUUUCUAGGUACAUAAGUACCUAUUUAAUCAGAGAAACACCAAUUUUUUUUCAAGAUUCAACCACUAGCUAGGAACGGUCAAGCCCGCCGUUUUGACCGCAUUUUGAAACGGGCAUAAAAAAUUCAAAAAAAAUCAAAAAAUUGGAAAACCUUCGCAUUGUGUCAUUAUAUGUGACCAAGUUUCCACAAAAAAUAAUAAACUUGUAAUAUGGAAAUUAUUUUAGAAAAGUGUUCUCAGAAAUGAGCUAUCAUGUGUGAAGAUUCAUGGAUUUCAACCCAAACGCUCAAUCUCAUGGCCACAUUCAUGGCAUAGUUUGUUCAAAUGAUCUCAUAUUGUGCACAAGGGUGCAUCUUGGAAUUCCAAGCAAUGUUGCCAAAGGGAGUUUUCAUUUUCUUUGCACGGAAAAUUCAUUUUCCAUUUUCCGAGUGCCCGAAAUGAGGUUUUUUGUGAAGGACCUACCAUAUAUUUGUUGCAAAAUUGUACCAAAUCAUUUUUAUAAAAUACUAGACCAUAUUUAAUGCACAAUUGACAAAAUAGUUGGGUGUCAAAAGUUUUGAUCCACCUCGGGUGAAAAAGACAAAUUCCCGUCGAUUCAGGUGGAAGCGGGUCAAAUUUGAACUGCAGCUGCCUCAUAGUUUGCUCUUUGUUUUUUCCAAAAAUCAUUUCUAGGUACAUAAGUACCUAUUUAAUCAGAGAAACACCAAAAAAUUUCCAAGAUUCAACCACUAGCUAGGAACGGUCAAGCCCGCCGUUUUGACCGCAUUUUGAAACGGGCAUAAAAAAUUCAAAAAAAACAAAAAAUUGGAAAACCUUCGCAUUGUGUCAUUAUAUGUGACCAAGUUUCCAGGAAAAAUAAUAAACUUGUAAUACGGUAACUAUUUAAAAAAAGUGUUCUCAGAAAUGAGCUAUCAUGCAUGAAGAUUCAUGGCUUUCAAGCCAAAUGAUCAAUCUUAUGGCCACAUUCAUGGCAUAGUUUGUUCAAAUGAUCUCAUAUUGUGCACAAGGGUGCAUCUUAGAAUUCCAAACAAUGUUGCCUAAGGAAGUUUUCAUUUUCUUUGCACGGAAAAUUCAUUUUUCAUUUUCCGAGUGCCCAAAAGGAGGUUUUUUGUGAAGGAACUACCAAAUAAUUGUUGCACAAUUGGACCAAAUCAUUUUUAUAAAAUACUAGGCCAUAUAUAAUGCACAAUUGACAAAAUGGUUGGGUGAAAAAAGUUUUGAUCUACCUCUGGUGAAAAAGACAAAUUGUUGUCGAUUUAGUUGGAAACGGGUCAAAUUUGAACUGUAGCUGCCUCAUAGUUUGCUCUUUAUUUUUUUCCAAAAAUCAUUUAUAGGUACAUAAGUAUCUAUUUAAUCAUAGAAACACCAAAAAAAUUCCAAGAUUCAACCACUAGCUAGGAACGGUCAAGCCCGCCGUUUUGACCGCAUUUUGAAACAGGCAUAAAAAAUUCAAAGAAAAUCAAAAAUUGGAAAACCUUCGCAUUGUGUCAUUAUAUGUGACCAAGUUUCCAGGAAAAAUAAUAAACUUGUAAUACGGUAAUUAUUUUAAAAAAGUGUUCUCAGAAAUGAGCUAUCAUGCGUGAAGAUUCAUGGCUUUCAAGCCAAAUGAUCAAUCUUAUGGCCACAUUCAUGGCAUAGUUUGUUCAAAUGAUCUCAUAUUGUGCACGAGGGUGCAUCUUGGAAUUCCAAACAAUGUUGCCUAAGGAAGUUUUCAUUUUCUUUGCACGGAAAAUUAAUUUCUCAUUUUCCGAGUGCCCAAAAGGAGGUUUUUUUAUGAAGGAACUACCAAAUAAUUGUUUCCAAAUUGGACCUAAUCAAUUUUAUAAAAUACUAGGCCAUAUAUAAUGCACAAUUGACAAAAUGGUUGGGUGUCAGAAGUUUUGAUCCACCUCUGGUGAAAAAGACAAAUUCCCGCUGAUUCAGCUGGAAGCGGGUCAAAUUUGAACUGCAGGUGCCUCAUAGUUUGCUAUUUAUUUUUUCCAAAAAUCAUUUCUAGGUAAAUAAGUAUCUAUUUAAUCAGAAAUACAUGGUUUGAUGGCGAUACAUCGAGGUUUGGAGGUGGCCGAGGGCCCCAACUCUAGAGCGCAUAAGCUCGGAUGCCCGCCGCGUGGUCACCGCGUGACCGUGGUGUUACCAUGCGUUCUGGGAGGCCUAGGCAUGUCUAGUGGGUUGUUCACUCCCCAGGUAGAUGCUAGGAAGAAAAUUAUAACAUAAGAUUCUCAUGAGGAGACCAAUCGAUGCUCAAACAUGAAUAAGCAGCCAAGUGUUUGAUUUGCGGUACGGGAAAUGCACAUUGCUAAUGGGCAUGAGUUUUUGCUGAGGAUGAUCAGUUAGUAAGAAGACCGUCUUCACAAAUUUUUAGGGAAAUCAAGAAUAUGUAAAUAACACUUCCUUCACAAAGUGCUGCUCUGAACAGAAUAGGAAAAUGAAUAUUGUUGAGUUAUUUUUGAACUAGGCAGGGAAGGUUUUUGACAUAUUUGAUGAAGAUAUGAUACAAACAAUUUAUGAGAUUUUUUUGGGAAUUUUUGGAAUGACAGAAAUAUAGGUUGCUUCACAACCUAGGGCAAAAACUGCCACAUGGACAUGACACAUAGGCAAAACUGAUGAGGUGGCGCCUAGUCAUCACAACCAACCACAAUCUACAAGGCUAUGACCAUCUAUUUUGGUCGUUAACAACUAGAAAUAAGGCAGUGGACCAGCCCUGUUUGCUUUGUGACCAUUUGGUGUAAGGAAAUUACGACCUUUCUGACCAAAAUGGUCGCAAUGGUUUAGGGUUUGGAGCCCCCCGAACAGCUUUUGACCAAUUGGUCUCAAAUGGUCAUAGAUCUAUGACCAAUUCUUCCAGGGUCACUGAUAGAAGGUUACUAGUUGACAUAUUUCUUGUAGUGCAUUUCGCAUGGUAGCUUGUUUUGGUCAUGGGAUUCCAUGGGAAACAGUAGGCAUAAUUUUGUAUUGUAGAUGAUCUACUAAACAUGGGGGUGCCCCCAAACACGUCCUUGCGGCCUUGACUUGCACCCUCCGAAAUCACAUGUUGGUUUGUUGACCUACCUGAAAUCAACCCAACUUUGCAGGGUUGCAAGCCAUGGUAAUUAUUGGGGUACGUACAAAUUUCAACUAUUUUCAGCAAAGUUGCAAGUUUUGUCACGUACGGACAAUUUUCGGGCAUUUUCAGAACAAACAACAUAUUUUAUACCACUUAAAAAAUGCAUUCCUUUCUCGACGACACAUUUGCUUUUUCUUCGGAACUUUACAUUUGUUUUGGCCAAUUACACAUGCUAAUGUUUCAACCUCCCAUAACUCACGCCACCCAGAUCUCCCGAAAUCCCACGAUUACAGCUCCUCCCUCGUAACCACCCGCGGCAUCCAGGUCCCGUACCACCUCCCACGACUGCUGCAAGAUCAGAUUGUAGCCGCCGCCCACCAGGAACUCGCCUGAGGGGUUGGACGACAGUGGUGUUGUCGCCGUCUCCUACGCGCGUCAACGCGCUGCUCCUGUUGCUGCCGUCGAGCACCACACAUCAACAUCUAGUGUGGGACGCACUAUCCGUGUGGAGCAUUGGGCCGCCACCGUCGACGACAGAAGGUUACGUGAUCAUAGCUCUUUUUGUAAUCUUUCUCGAACACGCACGUCUACUAGUAAAGCCCUAAUAGGUUUCCCACAAGUUAUUCCAGUCGUCAAGAUUACCUAAUCACAGCUCUCAUUAAUAACUAUCAACACGAUCAAUCUUGGCACACUACACAAAUGUCCGAAGAGGUAAUACCACAACAAGGGUAUCUCUUUCAUGAAAUAACAUGUCGUAUGUUUAUGCAAUCCCAAAACCCUAGUUGAACUAUCCCAAUGUUAUGCAUGACCAAAAUCUGUAGUGUGCUUAAAGUUACAUGUAGUUCAUAUUAUUUAAUAAACUCAUCCGUGCCUGCGUAUAAGAUUCUAUUUUUGUUACACAUUUCUCAAUGUGAAGGUCAAAUAAAUUGAACCGGUUUUGCUUCUGUUCCAUAGGUGCAGUAAAAUGGAAACUACUGUUAAAAGUGCUACUAAUGGAGAAAAAUACGUCUCCGAAAUGACCGAUGAGGUACAUUGUUGACAUUUCGUUUGAAAACUGUACUUGCAUACACUUCUUUCAUACUCGAUAAAAUCUAUUGCCACUUUUGCAGGUAAUCUUGAGGAAGCACGGCCAUACAAAGUUAGUGUGCUCACCGUCAAGGCUCGCCAAAGUCAUGAAAUUGUUGUCACUAGAACACAUAGAGAAAAUCAUAAGCGAUACCGGUCUUGGGUGUCUAAACAUGAUUCGUGAGUUUAAAAUCCGGCGCAUUAUGUUGGUAAGACUAACAAAGAGCUUCAAUAGUGAGACAUCGUUCAUUACCAUAUGUAAAACACCCAGUCCUAUCACCGCAAAAGACGUGCACCAUAUAUUUGGCCUUGCGAUAGAAGGGGAGGAUAUUGAUGAAAAGCUGCAAAGCACGCCGGAUCCAAAUUUGUUUUAACACAUUUCAAAACAAUGGGAGCAUUGAUCUGGCUGACCUUGAGACAGCGAUCUUAAGUUCCAAAACUCCGGACAAUGACUUCCUGGCGCGGUUCGUUCAAUUUGCUAUUGGCACAGUUUUAGCACCAACGGCACAAUGUUAUGUCGACGCAAAAUACCUUAAACUUGUUGCGGAUAUUAAAAGCCUUCGAAAAUUGAACUGGGGAUGUUUCACAAUGAAACACUUGUUCAGGUACAUACACAAAUUUAGCUCUCUAGAUCAAGUGUCUCUACAGGGAAAUCUACCUCUACUUCAGGUUAGUGCAACAUCACUAGUUAACAUUGUACAAUUCUUUUUCUUUUCUAUAUCUCUCUCUAUAUUGACGAAGUAAUUUAUUGUGAAGAUUUGGUACUGGGAGCACCUGCGUUCCGGCAAAUUGAUGUAUACUCCUAUACCCCCACCAUUGGUCGCACGAUGGGACGAAUGCACGUGUGUAAUAAGAGCAGAAGCUUACACCUCAGGAGGUCUUCAUAAAGGACUGGUGUGUUUCUAGAUUUGACCCAUGUAUAUAUCCGGUUAUUUAUUUGCUACUACUGAUUCAUUGUACCUGAUUCAAAGGUUGUGAUGGAAAUUUGUGCUCGACAACCAGAGGCCAACAAUAGAAAGGAUCCAGGAAGAAAAAAAAUUGUACGUGAGGAUGAAGGUGAUUCAUCUCGAGCACAAUCACAAGGUCAAAAUAUGAGUAGCCACCAAGUAAGCCCAACAAAGACAAUUUUCAUUUUCCAAGAUCAGUAAAAGGUUGCAUCGAAACUCAUUCAUUUUGCUUUGUUCUGAAUAGGGUGUUAUUUCGUUUGCACAGGUGCAAAUGAUAGUUGCAGCCCUGAAUGCAUGUUGUGUUGAGCAAGAAAAGAAGAUAGACAGAUAGUUAAUGGAAAUUCAGCGUAGAUUUGAUGCGAAAUUCCUCACCCUGAGCGAAGAGUUAAUCUACAUUAAGAGUAAAUCUGGCAGUAAUCCUAGGCUCUUGCUGCUCGAGGACAAAAUUAAGAACUUAAGGAGGGACCCGAAGGUAUGUCAUGUUGUGCAUUUUUUAUUGUUAUGAAUAUGUUCCUCCAUAUUCAUUAUUGUUAUAGUUGUUGUAGGAAUUAAAAAACCAAACUAAAGUCAGCCGACAAUCCGAGUCACAGAAAGCAGGUGUCGAGGUAAUAAUUAUGGCCCACCACAUAAGUAGUAUUACCAAACUAAUUAUAAUUGACCAUUUUUGUUGUUGUAGGAACAAGUCAAUGUGUGCAGUGAUCCCUUCAUGGCGACUCCUAAGUUCGACGCAUCCACACCACGUACUUCGACUCCAACACCAAGUGCUAGACACGUCCUGCCAAACAAGGACGAUCCUCGAAUCACACCGUUGAAGCCUCUAUUUGAUAAUGAUUACGUGCUCACCGCUGAGGACAAAGAGGCAGCCAUUUUCAUCCGGGGAACACACGGCCCUGUUGAAGUCAUUCAAAUCGGAGACAUUCCCCUAAGAGCGGAAUAGCUGAAGCCAAUUUACGAUAAAAAAUACAUUUGUGGUGAUGUAAGCCCCUUGUACUCCAUUGUACAUCAACUAUUUGAACUGUUGGCACAUCAUUAUAUGAUUACAAAUUUGGCAGGUUACUAUGGCGUAUGCUCACAUCAGCGGAGUUGAGACUGAUACUACCUCAGUCAUAUCCCCCAAUGAAACCAGAAAGCUUUACAAACAAAAGGGGUUAUUCCAGAGGGCCGUGGAAGCUCAUUGCUUCAGCGUAUUGCAAAUAAAUUUGUAGGACGCCGGAAGGUACCUGUUUUCCUCACUUUCAUAUAUCAUAAUAGAUAGUGUAGAUGAAAUAUUUCAGGGGUCCCCCGAACCAUAAUUGUUACCUCAUAUACAUUAUUUCGUGGAAUGAGUCCUCUUUGACUUUAUGGCAGGUCCACAUCCCGUUUAAUGUGAAUGAUAACCAUUGGAUGGCAAUGGUGUUCAAUUUCGACAAAGAAGAGAUUCAAAUCCUAAACUCCUUGAAAAAUCAAUUUGCUGAGUCAAAGGAAACUGCUCUUGUAAGCUUUAUCUUGCUGCCUCUUUACUGUCGCAUGGCACAUGAACUCCAAAUCACCGUAACCCUUCGUAAUACUCGUAUUAUGCUAGGUGGCGGCGAUUCAGGCCUGCAUGGACGGAGCGGUGAAGGAUGGCUUGGUAACACCAGAUAAGCCCAUCAAAUUUACCGACUGGGAAGUAGUACACUAUGACGACAUACCGCAAUAGAAUGACGGGUACGUACGACCUCCUAAAUUAUUCCUCGUUGACACGUCAAGUUUACUAAAACCUAAACUAAACACUACAUGCAUUCAUGUGCGUUUUUUACACUGAAGUACAUGUUGACAUGGAACAGUGAAGUAUUUACCGACAAAGUGGAGCAGGUGAUCCAAACACUAUAUUUUCUUGUAGAAUAUCUUAUGACUGAACGAUGUGCUGACAUAUGUGUCGCUUAUCAAAUGUAGUCAGAGAUAGAUAUAUUUAGCUAGAAAAUAGUUUCAAGCUUGCUGCAUUCAGAUUGCAACAGUCUUCGCAUGGAAACAUACAAGUACCCCAUAACGGUUAGCGAAAAGCACAGAUAUUUUAUUGUAUUCACAUGUGUCAUGACGCUACCGAAUGCACUGAUGUCUGCUGUACAGGCAGAGACGUAUGAAGCCCACAUUGCAUCGGAACCUAUCAAUUCACAAGACGAUGUCCAAGAAAUUAUCGGUACUAUUGAGUGCAAGAUAUCAGACACGUCGAGCUCCCCAAAGGAUCCCGACACCCCGAGCUCCCCAAAAAAGCGAAGAGCACGUGGACGCCCGAGGAAGCUUGUUGAUGAAGUGCAAGCUAAAAAAACAAAAAACUAUGGAAGAGCUCAGAGUGAAAUUUGAUAGCAAGACCAUUGUUAAACAAGUGUCUUCUUCGAUAUCAAGACGAUCAUGCAAGCCAUCACAUGCUAUAUCGAGCCCAUUCAAGUUAACCAAAUGGUAGUUUAGGUACGUACUGGGUAGCACUGUAGUUAGCACUACUUAUGAUACAUUUUUUCAUUUACGAUUUGGUGAUUGAACUUUAUCAAACGUGCAUCAACGAGCGGUGAAAGAUGGCUUGCUAACAACAGCUAAGACCGUAAAAAGUAGGGUAUGAUAACAUACCUCAAUAUAGCAAUCUAUGUUGUCGAAGUACAUACUUUUGGCAAUCACGAACAUUAUAUAAUUUCAGCAAUUAGGGAUACAUGCUCAGUUCUUUUGGUUGAACUGCCAAUAGGUCAGUCUGCCAAUCAUUUGCAUGAUGUACUUUUGGCAAUAUAUUAUACAACCUAAGUGCAUGUCAAAAAUGGCAAUAGGUACUUUUGGCAAUCAUGUGCAUGCUACAUAUCUGGCAAUUACUAAUGCGUGCUCAUUUGUUUUGCUUGAAAUGGCAGUAUGUACUCCUGGCGAACAUUUGUGUGCUCUACUUUUGGCAGCUAUUAAUACAGGAUCAUUUAGAAUGAUUUAACUAUCCAUAGAAAUAACUAGAAUGUCAUUAUUUCUAAACAUACCAAAUUCAGUACAAGAUAUAGCAUUAGCAUCUUUAGUUAGAGUCAUAACAUAUAUGUACCAUAUAUCACCAUAGUGGAGGUAUUAGGCAAGGUUGACCGCAAUGCUUACAAGAUAAACAGUAGUUUAAUGAAGAAACAACACUUAUUAGUACAGGGUAGACGCUUAAUUAGGCGCCUAUCAUGUACAAAUUGGCACUGCUGCUUCCGAAAACCAUGUUUAAUAUAGUUAGCAUGUACCUAAGCACGUAGCAUUGGAAGUUGGCCAUUACCAGAAAUGAGCAAUGUACUACCAAACACUUAAACAUAGCAUGUUAAACACUCGCGACCCAAAAGAUAAACCGGCACAUAAGUUCAAGCAGUACGGUGGGGCAGAAGUAUCACACGACAACCAUAACAUAAAAACAGUCUUAACUAGGGCGGGCCAGUAGUAACAACCAAGUAGCGCAUCAGAUCCUCGACAUCUUGGCCGGACAAGGAGGCCUCGGGGGGUAGAAUGGAAGAUGCCCCUUCGCGUACUUCCCGAGGAAGGCACCAAAAGCGGAAUGCUCAGCCCGGCAGUGGGGCUUGCGGUUCCUCCCAUUACCAUGGCUGAUAUCGGUGCCAUGCAUGAUCAGGUUGUCGUAGUCGCUCUUGAUUCUCGCGCAGCAGAAGGGGCAGGCUAUGUUGCCGUAGAGCCCGUCGGAGCCGCUGCGGUAUGGGAUUUCCCCAUUCCGCAGCCUCCUGAGGACGUAGCGGCUCUUGCUUUCCCUCCUCUCCUUACUAUCAUCCACGUCUUCGUCAUCUUCAUGUGUGUUAGUUGAUUGACAGCUAUGUUAGAUUAGGAAUAUAGAAAUGUAGCAUUUCAUAAGAGUAUCAAGUACAUUCCAAAAGUAGGAACACAAAAAUAUGAUCAAUUAGAUGAUUCACACAACAUGUACCUCAUGUAUUGCUAUAUAUGUUUAUGUAUUAUUUGUUAUCUUUCUUGUUGUUUUUUCUUUGCUUUGCAUGCGUACCUGUUCUCCCCUGUAAAGAAGUACUCCUAUUUGUACAGUCUAAAUUGACAAUUAACUAAAGGGUUCGGGUUUUAGGGUAUGAACAAAUCAUUUUACUGCAUUCAAGCACAUAUUUUAUUUCAUACUGAAAAUAUAUAAUUCCAAAAACAGGAUCAUUUCUUGCCAUUUCUUGCAACAAUAUUUUGUAUGAUCUGGUUUUAUCAUAAAGAGAUACCAGACAAUAUCUAAUUUAAUUAUAUUCAAACUAGAUGAGUACAUACUACAAAGUAAAACUACCGCAUCAACAAAGAAAUGAUUGCCCUCACUUGAUAUUUUGAAGACAACAAAUCAUAUGAAUCAUGUCAUGAAUUAUGUAUAAAAAGAGAAAUUUUUGACUGAGGUACAUCGGUUGGGAACAUAAGAAAUUAUGGCUUUAAUUACUCCUUGUUGCUAAUAAUUACAUAGGGUGCAUACAUAAGAAACUCCACAACGAAUUACUUACUGCAAUCAGAAAAUGUCUUCACAAUAUAGCUGUAAGGCUUCAUGAUUUUCAUCAAAUAAACUAGUUUUUCUGACAACUAAAUAAAUGUACUGUUUACUAGGUCUCAACAGAUUUGGCAAUCAGAUUGAAAAUAAGAUGCAUAGUCCACUUCAUUAUAUGGAAAUCAUGAAGCAGAUCGAAAAGGUUUGCACUGUUAAGGCAUGAAAGAUUCUAUAAGAAAGGAGAAAAUGUGGUAUCAGCUUUGUGCAUAUGGAGCAUUAUGAUUACACUUAGUAAUGAAAAAUUCUAUAUAAUAAGAAUGCAAUGGAAAUCUUGUUGCUAGAAAUGUACUAUUGCAUGGACUUGGCAUGCAUGAUUACUGAUGUGGCAUAGUUUCAUGGAUUGAUUUGUGCAAGAGAAGAACUGAUCCAUGUUUGUUGUUAAUGGCAGGCAAUGGCCGUAAAUUGUUACUACAUGCAUCACUACUGACCAGAUGCAUAACUCGAUGAUGUGGCCCAGUUUCAUGCAUACCAAAACCAGAUAAUGGGUUGCCACUAUUGAAGAAAGGAGCAUAGUUUCAUGAAUAGCAAAACCAGAUAAUGGGUUGCACAAUUGAGGAACAGAGCAUAGUUGUAACAGGGGUUCUCUAAUUUAAAAUCUCAUCAUUGAUAGUAUUGUUGGUUACUAGCGAGGCACACGUGCAUUGGGCGUGAAAGCAACAUUUAAUGUCAACUAUUUUAGAUGCACUUUACAUUGCUAUGUUACUGUAGCAAUGGAUUUUUGUGUGUGUUUUCUUUAAUAAAGAGAUAAUGUUUGUGCAUAAUAUGCAUUCGGAUUCACAAAGGUCAAAGCAUUAGCAAUUCAUUUAGAAGAAAAGAGUUUGCGCUGUUAAAGUAUCCAAGAUUCUAUAACAAUGGAGAAACAUAGUGCUAUGAGGUUGUUUGUGCAUAGGUCGCAUUGUGCUUAAGCUUACAAAUGGAAUAUUCUAGAUGGUACGCAUGCUUGGAAUUUUUCUUUUGUAGUAAAUAAGAUAUCGAAUGGCCAACAAUGCUGGGAUUUACCAUCUGUCCACCGUUGGAUUGGCUUCAUCCAACAGCAAAUAUUCAAAGUUGUUUCCAAAGUACAUGUUUUAAAAGUUACCAUUUAUAGAAGCUCAAGCACCAUCGAUAAAUAUUUACUGUUGCAUGUCAACUUUUCAAGUUCUAGAUAUUAAUCAUUGAUCCUCUUGUUGAAUGUCAUGAAAUAAACAAAUUUGUAGGAAAUUUUCCAUCCACUCAAACAUGUGUGAAAGAAUCCUACGUUUUUAGUAUGCACAAUCAAACACUCAUACAAUCCUGUAGGAUUCAAGAUGACAUGCCACUCUAAUCCCACGUUUUCCCUAUUCCUGUGUUUUGGAAAUCGUACGAAUCAAAGAGGUGAUACCUAACAAAUACACCGUUUUCUACAGCAGAACUGGUUCAUAAUCAGUUUCUAAAUCAUAUUCUUACUCAUCUUCACAAAAUAAUUGCACGCACAGGGGGAUUUUAGGCCUACAUGACUACUGUUCCAUGCCAGGUUUCAGAUUGAAGGGGUUUCCUUCCAAAUGUAUGAAACAACUAGUACUAAUCCUAACCCUAAGGGAGAGAUCAAGAAACAUAACCUAUCUGGACAAAAUCUAAUCCGUGCUGCAUGCAAUUUAGGAGAAAACCCCAUGGGAGAAAACCCCCAAAACAGAGUAGGAGAAUAGAGCAGAACAGAGUAGUACCUCCGAGAGCUCGUCGUCGACCUCCUCGUCAAACUCGACUGCCUCGUCCUGCACUUCCUUAGUGUCGAGCUCGGCCCCCUCGUAGUACUUGUCGAUGAGCUCGUACUGCUCAUGCUUCCGCUUGGCCCUUUGCUCCUCCAAAUCCACUGCCACCUCCUCCUCCACCUGCUCCCCGACCGCAGGCUCGGACGCUGUGACGGCGGCCGGAGCAGUCACAACAGAUGGUGCACCGCCUCCCAUCGCCACGACGGCGCCGUCGGCCACACCAAUCGCGGCGGCAAUGACCACAACAGGCUUCUCCACUGCUUCUACCACUGCAUCCUUCUCCACCGCUGUGUCUUCAUGGCCAGCCUUCAUCUUCCGACGACGAAGGGCAAGGGAGAUGGUUGCUGGCUCAUAGGAGGUAGGGUUCAAAGUGAGAGGAGAGGGUUUUUGCUGAUUUGGGGAAGAAAAGCAGCAGGGGUGGGGGAGUGGGGGAGACGGGGGUGGGGGAGGCGGCCUUUAUUUGGCGUGUGGGUGGACGUUUCGAGUUACCGAGGCUAGACGCGUGGCAUCAUGCGCUCGUGCACGCCCCAACCACUUUAAUUUUUUUGUCAUGAAUUUGUAUAUUUUUUGACCUGUGAUUUAGCGAGGAAUUACACAACCACCUACUUUUGGUGUUACUUUUUCAUAGAACACCUACUUUACAGGUUUGUUGCAAAAAAACACAUAUUGGGGUAAUUUGUUGCAGCAAGGUCUAAUUCGCCAUUUUGGGUGGGUUGACAUGAUUUCUAACAAGUGAGUCCAGUUAGUAAGUGCACCACGGGAAAAAAACAUUCCACAUCAGCACCCAACUAGAGCUGUGCAAAAUUUACAAAUAGGUACUCCAGAAAUAAUUCUCAUUGUUUCUGGGCCCACAGAAAUGAACUAUUGACAUUUUUUUUGUUCCCACAUAACAUGUUAGCACGCAAGAGCAUGCACCAAACUUGUUCUCCUUCGACACACAGACGCUAUAACGACGGACAUGUACCAGUAAUUUUCACACUGCACGUGUCGAUACCAUCUUGACCAACACGCAACAACAUUGGUCUCAUUGGACUCACACAUGCCAAAAGGGGUCCAAAUCAUUCACCAAUUCUUCUAGUCACAUUCCACUCCAAGAUGCGAUAAUGGACCGACAUGUAUCAAUCUUGAUCUAUUUGCACAAAUAAUUGGUAUAAGGGCCAGAUGCACCAAUAGAGGUCACAAUGCACUGACACAUGUCACUUGGGCCAACACGCACCAUGCCCACAUACAAGGGACAAAUAAGCCUAUAGGAUCCACAUGCACCGAUAAACUACGUCUCGACAUGCAACAACUUUUUGUAGUCACAUUGCACGCACAGUGCAUACCAAGACACGCCAAUGGCCCGUCAUCUAGCAAUCUUCAUGUGUUUUCACUAAUCAUGGUCUCUUUGGCCUCACGGAUGCCAUAAGGGCCAAAUGCACCAAUAUUGACACGUUGCACUCAAACGUGCCACUUGGGCCAACAUGGAUCAUGGUUUGUUUACUAGCAAGGAUCACAUAAGCCAUUAUAUAGUGUUGGUACCCUAGCUAAUAACAACAUAUAUCAACAUUGGUCCUAGUUGCAGCUACAUAGGACCACUUAUGCCACACAUGGAGCGCAGCCUCGGUGCAUGGUUUUUUUUCUGUGCGUCUGUGUCUGGAUAAAUGUCUUAAGGAGAGGCAAAUUUGUUCUGCCGAACACACUGUAUCAACCGAACUGGCUAGACCCUUUACUUCACACCUGCAUGGCCCUGGUUCGAAUCCCCGUGAGGCAGUUGGAAAUGCCAAUUUUUUUAUGGGUACUGACACGUGGGGUUCCCUUGUCAUCCACACAAAUGCACCAGCACAUGCACCACAUUUGGCUAAGUGCACCUACUACUCCACAUCAUUUUCAACUUUCUUAUUCCCCUUCUCGACAAGCGUCGCCGCCGCCAUCUCCAGACGACGCCUCUCUUCGCCGUCGGAUCUGCGUGGCCGCUGCCAACUCCGGCAAGUAGGUAAGAUCUCCCCUCAUCCCCCUCGUGAAUCUUCUUCCCUUCCCCAACCGCGUGCGUCUCCCUCCGGACGCGGAUCUGAUCCAGAAAUUUUAAUUGGUACAUGCGGUAGAUGAUUUGUUGAUGGAUAUGAUGGUUCUUUCAUAGAUUGAUGGAUGUCGUAGUGUAGGAUCUGAGUUGUGCCAGGGAAAAGUGAGGCCCCAUGCAAAUCAAAAUGCGGCCCUAUGUGUGAAAAAAUAAAUCAAAAUAAUUCAUCUGUUCUUCACUAUAGUAUGUAGUACUGACAUUGGAUUGGAUUGGAUUGGGAUUUAUUAGGUAGAUGAUACUGGCAUUGCCAUUGUCAUUGGCAUUGCUUUUUAGGUAGAUGAUAGUAAACAGAUUUAAUAGGUAUUGCAUUUUAGGUUAUCACUAUGAUUUAUUAUAUGUAUGAUCUUUGUAUUGUACUAUGGUAGCGUACAAAUCAACUUAGAGUUGAACAUGUUCUGUGUACAAUGGAGGAAGCACCAUGUGGACGGUGCAAGUCACGGUGCCGGACCAGCCUUUGUACUGCCAUGCUAUUCGGCAUCUACUUCCAGCCUACUUUUGUUUUGCAGCAGUAACAAUUUAUAUGAACCUUCUGACGGUUCAUCUUUUUCUAUUUCCACUAAUGCAUUGUGUUUGUUAUUUGUUUUUUUCUUGCACAGAUCAUCCCAUGCAAUGUGAGAUUGACAUUCAAUGAGCUCAUCGGAGAUACCGUGACCUUCGACACUCUUGGGGGGCGUACACUAUGCAGGUUGAUAAGGGGCGAACGAUAACCCAGAUUGGAGGAGAUGAAUGGGAUCGUUUCAUCGCCCGCUUCCGUCUUAGUGGGGGUGAACGGAUCCUCUUCUCCUUAAGAGGAGAAAGGCCCAGGAUUUCUGUUAUCUAUCUGAAUUUGAUUGCCGAUAGUGAGGAUGAAGUUCAUGAGGAGGACGAUGGUGAGGAUUCAGAUGAUGAUGAGAACCCACUUGAUGAAGCCCUCUAUGCCCAAGGAGUGAGGCUGAGCAACGAGGAAACCAACAACCUCUGGGACAUGCUUCCGCUAUGUGAAGACUACGUCGGGAUGCCAUUCGUGACCAGCCUCACAAAGACGAAUGUUAAACAACAUCUCAUGGUAUGUUACUUAGUUUGGUAAUUACAUGAUAUGCAUGCUUAAUUAGUGUAGUAGUUGAUAUGAUAUGCAUGUUGUAGUACUGUGAUGAUAUGCCUAGUGUAGAAUUCAUUUAGUGCAGAAUUUUAUGGUAUGCAUGUGUUGUAGUAAUGCGAUAUAUGCUUAUGUAGUGUAGUAAUAUGUGAUGAUAUGCUUAGUGUAUGUAGUAUAUAAUCUAAUGAUAUGCUUAAUUACUGUAGUAAUUUGAUGAUUAGCGUGUAGUGUAGUGGUGUGAUGUGAUAUAUGUGUCUUGAAGUGUAUGGUUUGUUCAUAAUUGCACGUGACAUGGUCAUAUAUCAUAUCAACUAUUUUCAAAAAUUACCUAAGAGGUUAUCUGAUAGUUGUGGCAUCGAGCCGGAUGAAGAAGGCAUGGUUGCUGGACUACGCCUUACCAAAAUGGGCUCCAUCACCACCUGUGCCUAUGCAGUGGACACGGACGGUCGCACUAUCUUCAACCGGGCGGGGUGGAAGAAGUUCCUUCAUGGAAAGAAUCUUCCGAUAGGUCAGGGCAUCCUACUCACUGUUGCGAAUACCCGUCGCCGUGACUUGAGGAUGAUGAUCACCAUCAACCUCAUUUAGAACUGGCUGGGCCAUGUUUCGAUGUGAAAUGAACUUGGUAUGUUAGCUCUUGUUUUAGAGUACUUGCCGUGUAUUAUCGUACCUAUCUAUCUAUCUAUCUAUAUAUAGGUUCAGUAAAUGGGCCAUGUAUCGAUGUGAAAUGAACUUGUUAUGUUUGGGGCUUGCUUUGCUGUUGCCAUAGCGGUUAUUUGUGACUUCCUUGAACUUGAAUCUGUCUUGAAAUGUUAUUGGAUGCUUGGUGCUGUUGCUUUAUAGUAUAAAGCUGGGGGCGUUGGGGGACCUUUUUAGUAGGUUUGGUUAAUGGAGUUUAGCUCUUAUUGUACUUAUUGUUUUCUUUUCCAUACAAUUCUGAACCCAAACUACACAUGGCACAACCUUCUGUGAUUAGUUCCUUUGAUAACUAGUACUCCCUCUGUAAACUAACAUAAGAGCGUUUAGAUUACUAAAAUAGUGAUCUAAAUGCUCUUAUAUUAGUUUACGGAGGGAGUAUUGAAGAGCAGCCAUAGAGUUCCAUUCACAGUUUACUUGAAUAUUUUUUGAUGAAUAAACAAAAUAGGAAGCUAGCAAACUUAUUUAACGAGAUAAGCAAACUAUGUACUUGAUUACAUAAGCAAACUUGUUCAACCCUGACAAACUGGACAUAAACAAACAGGUUCAACUAUGACACACAUGACAUAUACAAGUUGGUUUAACCCAAGAAAAGCAAACUACAAAUUUCAAACAACAAGAUAAAGGAUAAGCACAAGCGCAAGCAACACGAAGGCAAAUUUUGAUGUCUCCUCAUCCCGCAUAGUGGCAGUUGUAGUAGGGAUCCUCUUCCUGCUCUUUUGAAAUUUCCAGACCUCUUUUGAUGUGUUGAUUAUCUUCCACGACUUGUAGGUGGCGUACGCAUCUAUUGCUGCAUACUCGAUGAAGUAAUCUGGCGGUGGGCUGACCCCCCACAGUUUAUGGUCUGCCUGCUUGUUGAUCUUGUUCUCAUCUUGCUGUAGAAUGGGUGGAUGACGCUGUCUGCAACAUCAACCAAGGAGUCAUAUGGUUUUCCGUUGUAUGGAACUCUCCACUUGCGCUGAAUGUCGAUGUGCUUGUUGGGGUUUAUCUCCAAACCAGACAUCUUCAACUUGUCCAUGUCAUUUUUAAUGCUGAAACCGGCAAAGGUGAACAACUUCUCCUCCUGUAGGAACUCUUUGAGGCGCUUUGGCCUACUAGGGGAGAGACAAGUGAUGAAUACAUGGAGUACUAGUGUUUAUUUUCAAGAUUUAAUCAUCUGUUUUUUACGGUUUACAAGUGAAUAAUACAUGGAGUAGAUGCUUAUACAGUAUAAGUCAUGGAUGAAUAUAGUUCAGAAACUAGUACACAAAGUUCUGAAAUUAAAAUCAAGUACACCAUGUUAUUUUUCUUUUUGGAAUAUAUAGUUGAGUCAAUGAUCUAUUUGCUUUCUUACUGCUAGUUUAGUUUUAUUUUGUUGAAUAAAAUAACAUAUACAUCUGCUUCACCAAGUUCUUAAGUGUUUUUGGUGGUGAAAAUAACACCAGACCAAGUUCAGAAACUACUUCACUACAUCAAGUUCAGAAACUAGAUUAAUGAAUCAAGAUGAGAAACUACACUGGUACAUCAUGCUCACAAAUUAAUCUUGUGCAACAAUUUCAGAUACUAUUCAAGUGCACCAGGUUCAAAAUAUAUUCUAGUGCAUCUACUUUGAGGAACUGCACUAGUGCAUCCAUUUUCACAAACUACACUAGUACAUCUAGUAUGAAACUAGUCUAAUAAAAUUUCGAGGGAGCAGUAUUGAUGAAUGGAAGAGGGUGAAUGAGUAGGAUUUUUCACCAUUUUGUGGCCGCAGCAAUGUGGUACACGAGGCAGAGACCCUCCACGCAGAACUGCAGAACUGCUGCCAUCUGUGGAGGUUCAUCAUCUUUGGUAAACUGCACAUCAACACCGAUGAUGUGGGGAUAUGAGCCGCAUGCGCUCCUCCUGAUCCAAAAGAUCAUCUCGUCGGCCUUGUCUGGUUCGCUGGUGCAGACGACCUCCGUCGUCUCCUUGCCGUGGAGCUCAACCCCUUUGAGGGUUACGGUGUACUCGCGCUUCUAACCGAGAACGUGAACGAUGUCGAGGUUGCCGCUCUGGUCGGACGUCUGGCCACAAUGACGCUUGGCAGACGCUUCCUCCGCCAUUGCCCUCCUCCUACGACUGCGGGCUUCGAAGAGAGAUGUUUGUGGGUUGUUUGUAGAAGAGAUGGAAGCGGCAAUGGAGGUUCUCGGAAUGAGGCAGUGAUGUAGUCGAUUUGGGGCUUUUUCACGCUUGGGAUGGGGACGUGGGGGAGGUGGUUUGUGUGUAGGACGUGGGGGUAGUGGUGGUGGGGCGCAGUUGCAAUCCGACGUGGCAACCGCGCUCUGUGCACUGCUGGGUGCGCGUGCAUCUGAGUUUAGUCCCACCACGGGCCUGCAUCCUGGCCCAUAUCACUGGGUUUGUUGUCGUAUGCGGGCCUUGGUGUGCGAAAUAUCAUGUUAGGUAGGUGGGCUUUUUUUUCUAUAAAAUCUUUUUUUGCCUAUGUGACAUGUUGACUUAUACUAAAAUAACACUUCCUUUUUUUAGGUACACAUGUCUUAUGUGAAAAGUUUAAGUUUGAUAACAAUUAAAAACAUUUAAAACCUUGCCACAUUGGCUUUCUUGGACAUGUGUAAAAAGUUUAAGUUUGAAAACAAUUGAAAAACAUGUAAAACCUUGCAUCAUCGAAUUUUAAUUUUAAAAUAAAUUUGAAAUAUUGCAGUUAAUUUGUAGACCAUCUCUAAAUCAAACCAAAUUUGUUUUACAUUGUCACAUACAUGUGACAAACAUUGUUAUUUACACAUCAUGUGUGCAAAAACUGAGGUGAUUUAGAUGUGGUCGAAAAAAGGUGAUUUUUUCACCACCUCCAUAUCACCUAAAAUUUAUUCUACAUGCUCAAAUAGAUGAGCCAAACAUGUCUAUGAAAGAAAUUUGAAAAAAAUGUAUCCUACAAUGCCCGCUUAAGGUGUAGACCGUUGUUUUGAUCAGUCAGUCUACAAGGCAGAUUAAAUUCAAAACAAAUUAAAAAAUUAUAAAACAUUGAAAACCUAGCUAUGUUUGUGCAACAUAUCAAGUGUGCAAAAUUAGAGAUGAUUUAGAGGAGGUCAAAAAAAAUCACGCUAAAACACGAGGGGCUAUUUGGUCUCACUUAAGCCAGUUUUUGUAUAAAAUGUGAUUUUUUCCACCACCUCCAAAUCACCACAAAUUUGUUCUACAUGCUUAAAUAGAUGUGCCUAGCAUGUCUAUGAGAUAAAUUUGGAAAAAAUGUAUUCUACGAUGCCCGCUUAAGGUGUAGACCAUUGUUUUGAUCAGUCAGUCAACAGGACAGAAUAAAUUCAAAAAAAAUUAAACAAUUAUAAAACCUUGAAAACCUAGCUGUGUUUUUGCAACAUAUCAAGUGUGCAAAAUUAUAGGUGAUUUAGAGAAGAUCAAAAAAUCAUGCUUAAACACGAGGGACCAUUUGGUCUCACUUAAGCCAAUUUUUGUAGAAAAUGUGAUUUUUUUACACCACCUCCAAAUCACCCCAAAUUUGUUCUAGAUGCUCAAAUAGAUGUGCCAAGCAUGUCUAUGAAAGAAAUUUGGAAAAAAUGUAUCCUACAAUGCCUGCUUAAGGUGUAGACCGAUGUUUUGAUCAGUCAGUCUACAUGGUAAAAUAAAUUAAAAACAAUUAUAAAAUUUUAAAACCUNNNNNNNNNNNNNNNNNNNNNNNNNNNNNNNNNNNNNNNNNNNNNNNNNNNNNNNNNNNNNNNNNNNNNNNNNNNNNNNNNNNNNNNNNNNNNNNNNNNNNNNNNNNNNNNNNNNNNNNNNNNNNNNNNNNNNNNNNNNNNNNNNNNNNNNNNNNNNNNNNNNNNNNNNNNNNNNNNNNNNNNNNNNNNNNNNNNNNNNNNNNNNNNNNNNNNNNNNNNNNNNNNNNNNNNNNNNNNNNNNNNNNNNNNNNNNNNNNNNNNNNNNNNNNNNNNNNNNNNNNNNNNNNNNNNNNNNNNNNNNNNNNNNNNNNNNNNNNNNNNNNNNNNNNNNNNNNNNNNNNNNNNNNNNNNNNNNNNNNNNNNNNNNNNNNNNNNNNNNNNNNNNNNNNNNNNNNNNNNNNNNNNNNNNNNNNNNNNNNNNNNNNNNNNNNNNNNNNNNNNNNNNNNNNNNNNNNNNNNNNNNNNNNNNNNNNNNNNNNNNNNNNNNNNNNNNNNNNNNNNNNNNNNNNNNCCAAGCAUGUCUAUGAAAGAAAUUUCAAAAAAAAUGUAUCCUACAAUGCCCGCUUAAGGUGUAGACCGUUGUUUUGAUCAGUCAGUCUACAAGGCAGAAUAAAUUCAAAAAAAUUAAAAAAUUAUAAAACCUUGAAAAUCUAGCUAUGUUUGUGUAACAUAUCAAGUGUGCAAAAUUGUAGGUGAUUUAGAGAAGGUCGAAAAAAUCACGCAUAAACACGAGGGACCAUGUUCUCUCACUUGAGCCAUUUUUUGUAGAAAAUGUGAUUUUUUUUCCACCACCUCCAAAUCACCCCAAAUUUGUUCUAGAUGCUCAAAUAUAUGUGCCAAGCAUGUCUAUGAAAGAAAUUUGAAAAAAACAUGUAUCCUACAAUGCCCGCUUAAGGUGUAGACCGAUGUUUCGAUCAGUUAGUCUAUAGGGCAGAAUAAAUUCAAAAAAUAAAAAAUUAUAAAACCUUGAAAACCUAGCUAUGUUUGUGCAACAUAUCAAGUGUGCAAAAUUAGAGGUGAUUUGGAGGAGGUCGAAACAAAUCACGGUUUAAUUUGUGUGUGUGGGGGGUAGACCUCCCGAGAGCCAUUUACUGGUCAUUUUCAUUCCGUAUAUGUGUAAACAUUCCAAAUUUUACCAAACAUGAAAAGCAAAUUAUGCGUGCAUGCUCUAUGUGGUCAAGGGAUGCGAUGCAGCAAAAUUGGGAUCAUUAGUGCAUGUAUACGCAAGUAGGGUCUCUGAAACGCACUUUUCGGGGAUAGCCUGUCACCACCCCGAGAGCACUAGCUCAGUUUCUCACCUGUAUGAAACCAACCAAAAAAAUCAGGAUGACAAGUCAUGGCCAUGUUAGGGCUACUUGCCAUGUUUCAACCAUCUUCAACAAAUUUUGAAAGUUUCGUCACAUGCGGGAUUUUUUUGGUCAUUAGUACAAUGUGGACCAUUUUCAACAUUUAUUGCAAGUUUUGUCACGUAUGGCAUUUUUCGGGCAUAUGCGACACGAAAAAUCCAUUUUUAAUACUUAAAAACAAGGACAGUAUUUUCUAUAUUUGUUGGGAUAUCAUUGUGAUAUUAUUGAAAUCUCGCAUAACUCACGCGGCCCACCCCUCCCUAAAUCCCGCGAUUACAGCGCCUCAUUCUAACCACCCGGCCGUGCCAUCCGCAGCUCCCACGACUGCUGCAAGAUCAUAUCAGAGACGCCGGGCUCACACGGAUUACAGGAGGCGCCGGCCAACGCCCACCGCCAUGAGGGGUCGGACUUCAGUGUUCUUCUCGCUGCUCCCUCCGUUUAUCCUUGCCACCGUCUACCGCGCUAUAGGGGCACUUCUAGUUUGCGACGCACUGUCCGCGGCCAUCAACUCGGCGCCGCCGUCUCCGAGAGAAGGUAUGUCCUGAUCGUAGCUUUUUUUAAUCGUUGUCGGCCGCUCCUUUAGUAGUUGAACCCUCAUAGGUUUUGCACAACUUCACGUGGUUAAGCAAUUGGAUACCCUUGUUAAACUGCGCUUAUUUUAUGCACGACCAACUAGGUUGUGUGCUUAAAGUCAUAAGUGGAUCAUAUGUUAAAUGACCCACUUAAUUUUUUUAAUAUUAGUUGACUGCUAAUUUUGUUAUACAUCUUUUAAUUAUUGUCUUCAGAUUAAUUGACCCGGUUUUCAUCAUUGCAUACAAGCCAGCAAUGUCAGUUUCAGAUAAAAGUCUUUGAACAGAGAAAAGCCUCGAAGAACUCAAACUAAAUUUUGACAGCAAGACCAUAGGCAAACAAAUGUUUUUGUUAUCAUCACGGUCACGCAGAGCCAUGAGAAGCUAUGUUGAGCCCAUUCAAACACAAAUAGGUAGCAUCAAUUGAUACAUGAUCUUGCUCAUGCUCUACUUUUAGCAUCAUUUGAUACAUGUUCAGUUCUUAUCAUAAAGUGUAUAUAUGUACCUUUGGCAAUCAUGAGCAUCCUCUACUUACUGCUAUAACUAAUGCAUCCUCAGUACAAAAAUUGAAUUGGCAAUACAAUUGUAUUGGCAACGAUUUGCAUGCUUUACUUUUGGCAAGAACUAAUGCAUAGUUGAGUUAUAACUGGUCAUAGAUAUGGCUGGAACAUCUAGAGUUAUCAUCACGGUCACGCGGAGACCCUAAACCAUCACUAGAUAUGCUGAGCCCAUUCAAACACAAAUAGAAGCAGCAAUUGAUACAUGUUAAUGCUCAUGCUCUACUUUUGGUAUAAUUUGAUACAUGUUCAGUUCUUACCAGAAAGUGGAAACAUGCACUUUUGGGAAAUAUGAGCGUCCUCUACUUAUUGCAAUAACUAAUGCAUCCUCAGUACAAAGCUUCAAUUGGAAAUAGGUAGAAUUGGCAAUCAUUUGCAUGCUUUACUUUUGACAAAAACUAAUGCAUAGUUCGGUUGUAACUGGUCAUAGAUAUGGCUGGAACAUCCUGAGUUAUAAACUGAACAUAAUCAUGCUAAGCUAUAACUACCAUAUUUAUAGUAGUAGAGUUCCUAGCAUGCAUCACCGUACGAUUCUAGAACGGUUGAAUUAACACAGCUAACAUAACAUAGACCAAUGUACGAUACUUGACUUGCUAUGGCCUUGUACAAUGCAAGGUGAUUAGGCGAGGUGUUUAGAGAGAUAAACCAGGCUUUUCUUAAGCACCGGUGCUUAUUUGUACAGGGUAGACGCAUAACUAGGCGUCUGUCCUGUACAAAUAGGCAAUGGUGCUUCAGAAAAACCUGGUUUCUUUUUCUAAGCACCACCCUUAGCAUCUACCAUUGUAUGAUGCCUAACAUGCAUCAGAAAAAUAGUACUAAUAACAACUUAGACAACUUAAGCAGGUUAGCAGCAAACACUUAGAUAAACGGCAGAUUAACCACCGCACACCAUAAGUUCACACCCACCAUAGACCAUAGGACAUAAGUUCUUACACACCAUAGACAAUAAGUUUUAGAGUCGACCAGCAAAUACCGAUAACAUAAAAGGACACGGCGGUCCUGGGGCAGCAGCAGCAGUCUAGCAGCACAUCACUUGUCUCCCAUGUUUAGCGGCGGCGCGGCGGGAUGUAGUAGGGCUCAUUGACUUUGACAAUCUUUAAAGCGCUCGUAGGCCGCAAGUUUGGCCAGAGUACUGGCCUUUUGCUUCCUACUGUAGGAGUUGCCAGUGGUGACGGCAUGUUGCAUCAAGCCAUCAAUGCCGCCCUUGAUCGCCUUGCCAUAGAAGGGGCAGCCAAGCUUGCCAUAGAAACGGUACUUGAAUUUUUUCAGCAAUCAGCUGCCUCAUGAUGUAGUGGCUCUUGAUGUGCCUGCUGUCCAUGUCAUACCCCACAUCAUCGUCAUCCUCCUGUGAAUUAGUACACAAAGAAGAACUCAGUUAAUCUAUUCUGCUACAUUGCUCUUAAUUAGAAUGUGUGAAAAGUACAUACGUGUAACAUGACAAAUAUCUAUUUGCUGGAAAUAAGGCGUAUAUGCACAUACAUAAUUGACCCAAAUAAUUUGACAUGCAUAAGUAUGGACGGUGGAAUAGUUGCAUUGAUAGAUUAGUGCACAAGAAGUACAUAAUUAACACAUGAAAGAGUUCAUGAUGUGGCUUGGUUUAAUGAUACUUGAUACUUGUUACAGGUGUAAUUCUGAUUGGAAUCAGAAAAAAAGGCUUCAUUAUACUCCUCCAUGUUACACACAAGGGGGUAUUCUUCUAUCUAUUGGAAUCAAGAAACCAUUAUUCUUUCUGAGAGCAGCAAUACUAAUUCUCCAACAUUGUUAGCCCCUGAUAAGUUUUAGAAGGAAAUUGAUAAAGGAGCUAUGGGCUACUAUCUUUAUCCCUUAACUUAUGACUCUGAUGAUACCGGUGUGGAAAAUACUUUGGAGGAACUUAACUUGGAAAAGGAAAUUUUGUCAUGCAAAACAAAGUGUUUUUUUGUCUAUUUAUUGGAAUCAGAAAUUGAAUUCUAGUUUUACAAAUAUAUGCUAAAAAAUAUUCAUUCCAGUGGUCUAAAAAAAGAUUCAUAAAUUGAAUUCUAGUUUAACAAAUACAAGUUGAGUAUUUAGGGCAUGUUGUCUAAAAAACAUUCAUUCCAGUGGUCAGAUGCUGAAAUUGAGGCCUUCACAACAUUGAAGAAUUGUCUGGUCACUGCUCUUGUUAUGGCUUUGCCUUAUUUGACCCUACCAUUUACUUUUUAAAUAGAUGCAUCAGGUGAAGGUAUUGGUUCUGUCCUCAUGCAACAAGGCAGACCAAUUGCUAGAAAAGGAAAUGUUGUCAUGCAAAAUAGGGGUUCUCAAAGAAAUAAUCAAGUGGUCAGAACAGGAUUCUUACCAAUUAAAUCUGAAUGUAGAUGCAUCAUAUGAUAGUUAAGAAGGAGAUGAGUCGACGGGUGGUGUUUUAAGGGAUCAGUAUGGCAACUUUGUGUCAAUCCAGUAAAUUACCAUUAUAUUCCAAAUGCAUCAUCUGCCUGCUUGAUGGAUUCGGUGGCAAUGAAAGAAGGCCUAUCUUUGGUAGCACCUGUAGGCUAUCAUCAAAUUAUUGUAGAAUGGGAUUGCUUACAAGUUGUUCAAGCUUUUACUCGAGGUAACACAUGGUGGAACGAAGGAUCGCGUAUUAUUGCUGAUAGUUUUGAUCUAGUUCUGGAGAUAGGAACUGCGCAUUUUCUCACUGUCCUCGGGAAGCCAAUGGUGUCGCACAUGAGAUCGCUAGAAAUAGCUAUGAGAAUCAUCUAUCUUGUAUUUGGGUUGAUUACGCCACUUCUUUCAUUCAUGUAUCCCUUGUGAACGAUGUAAGUUUGCUUAAUCAAUAAAGCAUGCCGUGAUGGAAUCAUAUAAUGAAUCUCUGUUUUAGCUAUACUAGUGGGUUUUUUCUUCUGUCUAUUCGAAUCAGAAAAUGAAUCAGAUUCUAAAACCGCCAUCCAACAAGAAAAUAUAUGCUAGAUCCCUAGCUACAAUCCUACAUGUACGCAAACAUUAUGGCUGGGCCAGUACAUGAGUAGAAAUACCUCAUCAAUACGUGAAGAAAAUGAUUCAGAUUCAAAAACCACCAUUCAAUAUGCAAGAAAAUCUAUGCUAGAUCCUUUCAACUAGCACACCCAUAUGAAAUUGAUGCUAUGAAAAAACAGGGUACUUACAGGGUACUUACAGGAAAUAUAAAUCUAAUAAAAUCAGAUUAGUACCUCAGAUAGCUCGUCGAUGACGUCCUCAUUGUAGUCGCUGCCCUUCCUGGGAUCCACGGCCAUCUCGAACUCUAUUUCCUCCUCGUCGUUCCCCUCGUAGAACUCCUCCUCGAUUUUGUCAUAGAGCUCGCGCUUCAGCCUCGCCUUCUGCUCAUCCAGAUCUUCAUCGACCUUCUCCUGCAUAGGCUCGCCGUCGGGUAGCUCGCCGGCUGGGAUGAUACCGAGAGGAGGCACAACAGUUGCUGCACCGCCUCCGUCGCCGCUACGGCGGACUCAACCGCUGCAACUGCGGCGGCAGCCAUGACAGCAGACUGCUCUCCACCGAUGGUUGCCUCCGGCUCGUCCAUCACAUCUUCACGGUCGUGCUUCAUCGGCGGUUGACGAGAGGACGAGGGACGUGUUGGAAGGGAGGAGAGGUGUGGAGUGGUGAGGAAGGGAAGAGGGUUUGGGAGAGGACGAGGUGGUAUGGCUGGAGUGGGAGAGGACGAGGAUUUUCUACCCGAUUUGUGGAAGAAAAUGAAUGCGGCUGCCUCUUGGAGUUACCGAGGGGUCGAGGGGGGUGAUUUGUCUCACCUACUAGGGCCUUCCACAGUGAGGACACGUGGGGUUUGCCCCGCGCCAUGCACCUCGCGUGCGGUUUGCCCCGCGCCGCCCUUCAAACUGCUGACACGUGGACACCAGCAGUGGUUACACAUGAUAGAUAUGGUAAAUGAAUUUCUUAAAUCUGAGGGCAUGUAAUUUGUAUCAAAAUGCAUCAUCAGCUUAGCGGUAACACCCUCACGAUCACAUACUAAUGCCCUUGGUUCGAAACUCCGUCGUGCAGUUUAGUUCCCUCUUUUUUGCCUAUGUGGUUUUUACAUGUGGAUCCCACAUGUCAUUCACAUACACGGAGAACACGUACAAACAAACUUGCCGGACAUGAUGUAAAUGGGCCCAAAAAAUUUCUACUUUGUAUCAUUCUUGUAUGGAUUUGUAUGGAUUUUCUAGUACGAUUAAGUGCUUAAAAUACUUCUCGGAGGUGAUGCGACAAGCGCACGUUGUCGAUCCACUGGGGUGGCCAUGCCCACAACAAGGAAAAAUUUGGUGUCAUUCUUAACAUGGCCAAAAAUUCACCUCCUUCACCGGCGGUUGUUCGGAUAGGAGGUAAGGGUCUGUGUGGAAGGACAGUUUUUUCUCGACAUGCUUCAAAUGGACCUAUAUUCUUUCUACACCCUUGUACCAACAUGAGAAGCAGCCAUGACUAGUUCCAUUGAUUUUCGAUAUUUUUAUUAUUUUUCUAGGGUUAUCACGAUGAUAAAACCCUAAAAUAUUUCCAACCAGCGCCACCCUUCCCUCUGAUCACUCUGACUAGCAUGUACUUAACUUAGCAUCAAGGCCAUGAAAACAGGAAUCAGAACCGUAUUAGAUUUUGAUCCCACACAUACAAAACAGAUAACACAAAUCACAGAUUGCAGGUACUACGAUUAUCUGAGUGAACUUCUAAUGCAUAACAACUUCUGGUAUUCAAAUACAUCACAUGAAAUACUGAGACAACUAGAAAUGCAAAACAGCUUCUGUGUUGAGAUUGAGCAAGGGAUUUUUAUUGUGAGGCGCAGCAUCUUCAGCAACCUAUCCAUGAUUCCACCUGUAGCAUAUAAGUAACUGAAAAUUUUAGAUUGAAUACAGUUGGUAUUGGAAAAAUGAUAGUACGGUAAUUUGAAGAUGCCAAGGAAAUCUGUCGCAACAACUGUAGGAGUAUACAAAUUUGAAUAUAAAGUUCAUAGAAGUCAAUGUUGAAUUAAUAAGACCUUUGCAAGAUGCAAAAUCACUGCUGUGAUGAGAGUAAACAGCAUGUAGGCCAUAGCACAUGCAAGAAGCACUUACAGGAAGUGAAGCAAAACGUUGUAGAGCACGGCAACAUGAGUAAGCCAACAUCCCUACUAAAAUUAUUUCACUGCUUAUGUCUAGCUUUUUUUCUUGAAUCAUUAGGAAGCCCUAAAUAUUUUGAUGCAAGAUCACCGACAGGGCACUAUUGAAAUAUUUCAAUGUCUACAUCUCUCUACUGAAAGUGCGUUACUGAAAUAUUUCAGUGGCUACGUGUGUGUGUACUGAAACAACACCACUGAAAUAUUUCAGUUGCUACAUGCGUGUACUGCAACAGCACCACUGAAAUAUUUUAGUUGGUACUUGUGUGUACUGAAAGUGAACCGCUGAAAUAUUUCAGUGGAUACGUGCGUGUACUGAAAGUGCACUAGAAAAAUAUUUCAGCGGCUACUUGCUUGUAUUGAAACAACACCCCAGAAAUAUUUCAGUGGCUACGCGCGUGUCCUCAAACUACUAAACUGAAAUAUUUCAGGGGUUGCGUGCGUGUACAGAAACUACAGUAUUGAAUUAUUUCAGGGGUUGCGUGCGUGUACUGAAACUGCAGGACUGAAAUUUUUCAGUGUCUACCCGUGUGUACUGAAAUUGCAUUGCACUACUGAAAUAUUUUAGUGUGUACCCGUGUGUACUGCAAUUGCACUACUCAAAUCUUUCAGUGUGAACCGGUCAGUAGUGAAAUAUUUCAAUGCCUACAACUAUCUACUGAACUUGCAGUAUUGAAAUAUUUCAGUGUCAACCCAAAGUCUAUCACUCUAAAACUGUGUACUGAACUUGUCUGGAGGCACUUCUUGCAGCCUCGAUGGUGCAAGUUCAAUUUACACAGAUUGCAUCACGUAAUUUGAACACAACUCUUGAGGUGACAGAAAAAAAUUCCUAUCAUGGAUACCACUCCAGCACAUCAAAACAUAGCAAUGAUGGAGAAUCGGAGUAUAGAUCUGAAGCCAAAAAAUGACUAAGUGAGGAAGAACAAGUUUCACAGUUUCACAUUAGAAUUUUAGAUCUACCGCACGACAGGAAAAGGAAAAUAUUUAGACCUAAAGGUUGGUGCUUGAGCAGUUCAUGAAGUUCCAGAUCGGGUUUUUAUACACAAAAGAGAUGAUCUGAUGGCAAAAGAAGGAUUAUCAUUACUACCGCAUAAGAGUAUAUCACGUUUGGAGUCUAUCCUAUAGGCCUUAAUGAAGAACAGGGGAAGAACACCAUGAAGCUUCGAGGAGCCCGUGCGAAACCUAAACAGAUCUAUGGAGGAAAGGAAGAAGAACUCACCAAAAAUUGUUGAACAGCGGAGAGGCGCCGCGAUUUUCUGGUAUGGGCAGGGUGAUGCAGUGGCCAAGGUCGGGGCAUGAUACGUCUCCAACGUAUCUAUAAUUUUUUAUCAUUCCAUGCUACUAUAUUAUCAACUUUGGAUGUUCUAUAUCCAUGAUUAUGCUAUUUUAUAUUAUUUUUGGGACUAACCUAUUAACCUAGAGCCCAGUGCCAGUUCCUAUUUUUCCAUGUUUUUAACCUUUUUCAGAUAGGAAUAUCAGACGGAGUCCAAACGGAAUAAAACCUUCACUAUGAUUUUUUAUGGAAAAUAUCAAAAAUACCAGAAAGAAAAGAUACCAGAGGGGAGUCCCGAGGAGAUCACAAGCUAGGUAGGCGUGCCUGGUGGGCUUGUGUGACGCCCCCGAUUCAAUCGUACACUAAUCAUGCACGCAAACGUGUACGAUCAAGAUCAGGGACUCACGGAAAGAUAUCACAACACAACUCUAAAAACAUAAAUAAGUCAUACAAGCAUCAUAAUACAAGCCAGGGGCCUCGAGGGCUCGAAUACAAGUGCUCGAUCAUAGACGAGUCAGCGGAAGCAACAAUAUCUGAGAACAGACAUAAGUUAAACAAGUUGCCAUAAGAUGGCUAGCACAAACUGGGAUACAGAUCGAAAGAGGCGCAGGCCUCCUGCCUGGGAUCCUCCUAACUACUCUUGGUCGUCGUCAACGGGCUGCACGUAGUAGUAGGCACCUCCGGUGUAGUAGUCGUCGUCGACGGUGGCGUCUGGCUCCAGGGCUCCAGCAUCUGGUUGCGACAACCAGGAAGGAAGGAAAGGGGAAAAAAGGGGGGAGAAAGCAACCGUGAGUACUCAUCCAAAGUACUCGCAAGCAAGGAGCUACACUACAUAUGCAUGGGUAUAUGUGUAAAGAGGCCAUAUCAGUGGACUGAACUGCAGAAUGCCAGAAUAAGAUGGGGAUAGCUAAUCCUGUCGAAGACUACGCUUCUGGCAGCCUCCGUCUUGCAGCAUGUAGAAGAGAGUAGAUUGAAGUCCUCCAAGUAGCAUCUCCAAGUAGCAUAUCCAGGUAGCAUCUCCAAGCGCAUCUCCAGUCGCAUCGCAUAGCAUAAUCCUACCCGGCGAUCCUCUCCUCGUCGCCCUGCGGAAAAGCGAUCACCGGUUUGUCUGUGGAACUUGGAAGGGUGUGUUUUAUUAAGUAUCCGGUUCUAGUUGUCAUAAGGUCAAGGUACAACUCCAAGUCGUCCUGUUACCGAAGAUCACGGCUAUUCGAAUAGAUUAACUUCCCUGCAGGGGUGCACCACAUAACCCAACACGCUCGAUCCCAUUUGGCCGGACACACUUUCCUGGGUCAUGCCCGGCCUCGGAAGAUCAACACGUCGCAGCCCCACCUAGGCAAAACAGAGAGGCCAGCACGCCGGUCUAAACCUAAGCGCACAGGGGUCUGGGCCCAUCGCCCAUAGCACACCUGCACGUUGCGAGGGCGGCCGAAAGCAGACCUAGCCUAGUGGCGUUCCAGUCCAAUUCGGCGCGCGCCGCUCCGUCGCUGACGUCUGAAGUGCUUCGGCUAAUACCACGACGUCGGGAUACCCAUAACUACUCCCACGUAGAUGGUUAGUGCGUAUAGGCUUGUAGCCGACUCAGAUCAAAUACCAAGAUCUCGUUAAGCGUGUUAAGUAUCCGCGAACGCCGAAUAGGGCUAGGCCCACCUCUCUCCUAGGUGGUCUCAACCUGCCCUGUCGCUCCGCCACAAAGUAACAGUCGGGGGCCGUCGGGAACCCAGGCCCACCUCUACCGGGAUGGAGCCACCUGUCCUUUCAGCCCCCUUAUCCGAAUCACUUGCGGGUACUCAACGAGCUGACCCGACUUUAGUCACCAUCUAUAUAGUAUGUAUGUAUGUAUAGUAUAUACCCGUGAUCACCUCCCGAGUGAUCACGGCCCAAUAGUAUAGCAAGGCAGACUGACAAGAAUGUAGGGCCAAUGAUGAUAAACUAGCAUCCUAUACUAAGCAUUUAGGAUUGCAGGUAAGGUAUCAACAGAUGUAGCAACAAUGUCAGGCUAUGCAUCAGAAUAGGAUCAAUGGAAAACAGUAACAGGCUACACUACUCUAAUGCAAGCAGUAUAGAAGAGAAUAGGCGAUAUCUGGUGAUCAAGGGGGGGGGCUUGCCUGAUUGCUCUGGCAAGGAGGGGUCGUCAACUCCGUAGUCGAACUGGGCAGGAGCAGCGUCGGUCUCGUAGUCUACCGGAGAGAAGAGGGGGAAGAAACAAUGAAUACAAUGCAAACAUAAACACGAUGAUGCGUGACGCGACAAUGAGCGGUGCUAGGUGUGCCCUAACGUGGUAUGAGGUGGUACCGGUUAAGGGGGGAAACAUCCGGGAAAGUAUUCCCCGUGUUUCGCGUUUUCGGGCACAGGAGCCGGAGGGGGAAAGUUGCGGGUUCGAUAGGUUAGGGGUGUGUGGCGGACGAACGGACUGCGUAUCCGGAUUCGUCUUGUCGUUCUGAGCAACUUUCAUGUUGAAAAUAUUUUAAUCCGAGUUACGGAUUAAAAGAUAUGAUUUUCUAAAGAUUUUAUUAAUUUCUGGAAUUUAAUUAAUUAUUUAAUUAAUUCGAAAAACAGAUUAAUGACAUCAGCAUGAUGUCAUGCUGACAUCAGCAGUCAACAGAGUUGACGUGGUCAACCUGACAUGUGGGUCCAGUGGGACCCACCUGUCAUUCUCUGUUUAGGUUAAUUACAGAUUAGUUAAUUUAAUUACUAUUUAAUUAACAUAACUAGUUAACUAAAUUAAUUAAACCGGAUUAAUUAACUUAAUUAAUUCAUUAGAUAAUUAAUUAAUUAAUAAUUAAUUUUAUUAAAUCAUUUUUAUUUUUAUUAAUUAUAUUUAUUUUAAUUAAUUUUAAUUUUUUUAUUAUUUUUUUUAAUCCCUCUUUUUUUGUUCUGGGGCGUGGGCCCCAUGUCUCUGUGGCCCAGAGGGGCUAGCGGGCAUGGGUGCGGGCGCUNNNNNNNNNNNNNNNNNNNNNNNNNNNNNNNNNNNNNNNNNNNNNNNNNNNNNNNNNNNNNNNNNNNNNNNNNNNNNNNNNNNNNNNNNNNNNNNNNNNNNNNNNNNNNNNNNNNNNNNNNNNNNNNNNNNNNNNNNNNNNNNNNNNNNNNNNNNNNNNNNNNNNNNNNNNNNNNNNNNNNNNNNNNNNNNNNNNNNNNNNNNNNNNNNNNNNNNNNNNNNNNNNNNNNNNNNNNNNNNNNNNNNNNNNNNNNNNNNNNNNNNNNNNNNNNNNNNNNNNNNNNNNNNNNNNNNNNNNNNNNNNNNNNNNNNNNNNNNNNNNNNNNNNNNNNNNNNNNNNNNNNNNNNNNNNNNNNNNNNNNNNNNNNNNNNNNNNNNNNNNNNNNNNNNNNNNNNNNNNNNNNNNNNNNNNNNNNNNNNNNNNNNNNNNNNNNNNNNNNNNNNNNNNNNNNNNNNNNNNNNNNNNNNNNNNNNNNNNNNNNNNNNNNNNNNNNNNNNNNNNNNNNNNNNNNNNNNNNNNNNNNNNNNNNNNNNNNNNNNNNNNNNNNNNNNNNNNNNNNNNNNNNNNNNNNNNNNNNNNNNNNNNNNNNNNNNNNNNNNNNNNNNNNNNNNNNNNNNNNNNNNNNNNNNNNNNNNNNNNNNNNNNNNNNNNNNNNNNNNNNNNNNNNNNNNNNNNNNNNNNNNNNNNNNNNNNNNNNNNNNNNNNNNNNNNNNNNNNNNNNNNNNNNNNNNNNNNNNNNNNNNNNNNNNNNNNNNNNNNNNNNNNNNNNNNNNNNNNNNNNNNNNNNNNNNNNNNNNNNNNNNNNNNNNNNNNNNNNNNNNNNNNNNNNNNNNNNNNNNNNNNNNNNNNNNNNNNNNNNNNNNNNNNNNNNNNNNNNNNNNNNNNNNNNNNNNNNNNNNNNNNNNNNNNNNNNNNNNNNNNNNNNNNNNNNNNNNNNNNNNNNNNNNNNNNNNNNNNNNNNNNNNNNNNNNNNNNNNNNNNNNNNNNNNNNNNNNNNNNNNNNNNNNNNNNNNNNNNNNNNNNNNNNNNNNUUUUAUUUUAGUUUUAUAACUAUAAAAGUAGUCCCUAAUUUAGUGUUAGUAUUUAGCUACUACCACAUAAGUUUGGGCAACAAAAUAAAUUAGUUUAAUAUUUUAUCUAUUGUAAAAGGCAUUCAACUAAUUGUCUUUGCUACUGUUUAAAACAUUUUAGAUUAUUUUACACUUUUAUAAAAGUGUGAUUUCUCCACCAUAUCUCCCCAUGCAUUAUUUGGCUCACUCCGAACAUUAUUUGGCUCACUCGGGAGGUGAUCACAAGUUGGUAUCAGAGCCGACUGCCUGUAGGAAUCCCCCUUUCACACUUCUUGGCCGAAGUCGAGUCUAGACAUUGCAAAACUUUUACUAACUUGGCUGUGUGCCUUACGGGCCCACGUCGCCAUUGGGUGGUACUAGGAUCUUUUACUCCUCGACCUUUACUCUGGGACUCUGAUCUCUCUUCUAUUCGGGUUAAAGGAAUUUUGCUAAAUCUAACAUUAGGAUCUCGUUAUCACUUUCACCCGAAGAGCCCCUUAUUACUGAUGAUCGUCUGCUGCACGUGAAGACCCUGAAGAUACUUUCCGCUGUUAACCCGAGAACUUGUGUUCAUCGCGUUUGCAAUUCCCCUUCCACCGUCAACCCUUAUAGAUAACUACUUGCAGUUGAUAUUCUUACAUUAAUCCCCGGUUGCUCUUGUUAUUACAAGACACCCCGAAACACCCGUCGUUGUUUCGAUAAUCGUUUGAGCUUACUGCCUUGCUAUUCCUUGUCACCUGAAUACCCCUACGGAUAAUUCUCGCACUUAUCGAGUAUCCGCUCAUCCCCCAGUUGUUCAUGUGUUUCACAAUGGUCUCCGAAAUACUAUUCGAUCCUCCAAAAAUCCUUAGUAGCUUAUUGCUCUGCAAUACUGAUCUAGUUGCAUGAUGGAUGCUUUCCAUAUAUCUGGCAAUAUUUGUUAGUAUCCUUAGGCACCGUCAUUUUGAUCCUUUUGAUUCAACAUGAGUGCGAAUGCACGCAAUCAUCAGUUGAUCCUUUUAAAUUAUCUUUUUGGCUCAGACGUCUUUCAAACAUGAGUUGGUUCUCGACCAAUCCAAUUGUCGUUGGUUGUACCCUAAGGCUAUUCAACUUAUCCAUCCCUAAUCAGAGCAUUGCUUUUGAUCCUUUGAUUUGGAAAUCAUAAUUCCUUUGCCUUUGACAAUUGAGUUAGUCAGUUGUUUCUAUAAUCUGAUCUCCUUGCAUUCUUCUUCCUCUAGUUGAGUACUGAUACUCGUAUCAGAUCCCUUGUGGACCAUCAAGUCCUUUGUUGGAUUUAUCUGACAACGCCCUUCAUAUUCAAUAACCUUGUGAGCCUUUCCUCGGAUACAUAAUGCCUUUGGUAAAUUGUAUCCUCUGCUUUUCUCAACCAUGCUCUGCCAUCGAGUUUGUGUUAUUUACUCUUGAAACUUGUGGUAUAUGUUUCUAAGAAGCCCCUAUGGGUUGAACAUAUGCCUUCUCUAAACCGUGUGAACCCGAAAGUUUUCACGAGUCAUACCCUUCUGGUGCUUCACCAGACAAAAUUUCAACACUACAACUUCAUCGAACGUGAGAAGUGAAUGAAAGGUUAUGCAUAGGAGAAGUGGGAGUCGACCUUGAACUUGUGUUCAUGCCCAUGGACGCGAUAUAUAUCCUAUCAUGAAAGCUUCUUGUAACAAUAACUAUUUCCUUGAUAACUAACCUAUGGUAUCUGUGAAUUGAUCCCUUGCAACCGUGGUUCCGACCAUGAUUGUUCUUCUUUGAUCUCAUUUCUCGGACAAGUUAAAACAAUUGUCUUCUAUGGAUCAAUACACCAGUCCAACCUUUACUUUGAUCUUGUGUCAAGUAUUACCCCCCUGGUAUCUCGAGAUUAUCGUGGAACUGCAUAACUUUUUAUGAGUUCUUCAUCAAGUGCUACCUUCCCACCGAUUUCAAUUUUUCGCGGGCUCUGAGUUAUUGAACACUCAAAGACACCGAUAACUGAACUAAGUCCGCUCUUCGGUUCAACAACUCUUCAGUAAACUUCUAUAAGUACGAGUUUGUACCCGAUCACGCCAUUCCUAGCCUGUUUGGCUAUAUCAUUGCCGUGACGAUUCUACCUGUGCUACCUGGUCCUUAUUCUCGGAGCACCAAUUUGCGACGAUAGCUAAGCUUACGUCGAUUUUCCUCGUCAUACCCUUUCACCUUAAACAACCAGCUUGGUUUCGAGUUUGUGUCGUACCCUUGGUUCCAAUAACCUUUCACUUCAUCAUUACUUUGACUUGAUGUCGUCGCCGAUCGAUUACAUCUUCAUGAACUCUCGCGACAAAGGUGUCGUGAUCGUCAACAUUCUGAGCUCAUCCAGGAUAUCAAUUGGAUUCAUGAUAAGAAAUACCAUCCUUGCCUCGAUGAAUUGUAUUAUCAUCGACCACUUUAUUGCCUUCCCACCAACACAAGCUUGUUCAUGUUUGGUGUUAUACCUUGAGUUCCUUGCUGUCCAGCAAAUGAUCUUCCUUACCUCGGAAGUAUUACCAUCUCUUUUUGUCAAGAAUGUGGUGAGAAUUUCACCACCUCUUAAUAAUUCUUGAUAUCAUAAUACUUCUUGCCAUCUUCGUUCACUCCUUGGUCCCCGUAUUGUUUUCAACCGUAAUACCGACAAUGGAGCUAUGACGUGUGAAUUCAAAACUUCUAGCAACCCUAUUGCUUUGAAGUGAAUGGGCGAUAGUUCAUUCUAAGUCCUUCGCUAAUUGAAUCACCAUUCUGACAUUGGUCGUGCAACCCAACCCAUAUUUCGGGCGCACAUUUCAACCAAUGUUUAAUUAUGUAUGUUUUCCUCGAGCAUACUUCCUUAUAUCAUUUGAUCUGGCAAAUGUUAUCUCCUUGUUCACUUAAUGGUGGAAAUCCAUCUUUUGGGGAAUCUCGGCGAAUUGCCGUUGAGUUCACCAGACACCUCCUUGUCCACUCCUUGGGUUAAUGAUGAACUCUUGUUAAUGGAAGUCACUUCAUAGUUCAUUUCCCGAGAAUCUUACAGUGUCAUCCCAUCAAUUGGUGUUGCACCUUUCUUCCCAGGCAUCCUGAGCCUGAGGUAUCCUGACACCAAUCAUACCUGAAUCUCCGUCAGAUAUGAUGGUUAGGACAACUUUCCAAGAGUUAUGAUAUUGAUCCUUUGAUGACCCGGUAACAUGAUGUCAUGCCUAGCACCCCCCCCCCCCNNNNNNNNNNNNNNNNNNNNNNNNNNNNNNNNNNNNNNNNNNNNNNNNNNNNNNNNNNNNNNNNNNNNNNNNNNNNNNNNNNNNNNNNNGAAAUUGUAAGACUUAUUCUACAAGUUAUUCUUGAUGGAUCCUUCGUGUUUCCAAAGUCUGAUCUUCACCUGAAGACCAUGUCACUGCUAUCUCGAAGCAUGUCAAUGGUACUCCGAUUUUCAACAGGCACGUUUGAAGCACGAUGCUAUAUUUUAAUUAUCAAUUAUCCUAACACCGUUGUAUGGGUAAUUUCAUGAGAUUCCUCCCCCCUUACCUAAAAGGUUUUCUACUUUAUAUCCUGUCUUGGAUAUCAUCCUCUGCUUGACUUUGGGGAGGAUAUACCCUUGAAAUAUGUGUUUAAACAUAUUUUCCUUUCCAUUGUUCUGUUUAAUCUGAUGAUCAUAUUUUCCUUCCAUUGGUUUGUUUAGACCUUUUCUAUGAUCUAUAUGAUAUAAGCAGUAAUAAUCCACUGCUUGUGCAAACACCUCGAUGUACAACUCUGUCAGUAAGACCCUGUUUUUAUUGUUGAUGACAUUCCGGUAACCACCGAUGGAUGAGAACUUUGCCUAUUGGUCCGCCUCGUUCAACGAGCGGGAAAAAUGGUUCUCUUCGUCCCUCACCCUUGGUACAAUGGUUGUUGCCGACAUAAUCGAUAGUCCAUCCUCUGACAGGCCUUGCUUACAUGAUCAUGCAAGACGUCAUCCCCUUCCUACUUUUACCCACAUGGUGGGCCCAUAACCCACAGUUCCACAGGAUCGAAACCUGACUCUCCUGUACACCUUGUUGACAAAGUUAUCCCUUACUCUUGGUUUCGUGUGUAAUUCAUGAGCCACCUUCCUAAUGCUCUAUUCUGGUAUCACACGCCAUACUUACUCUCGCUACUCUGAACCCCUUUCUCACUCUGGUUCAGACUUCGAGCAACUAUUUAUCCGCUUGGAACCUCUUAUUGUACCUUCGUACCUUACUCUCGAGGUAUUUUAUAUGUUCAACUCGAGAGAUAAUCUUAUGCUCAUUCAUGGGUUAACCCCCAGGUUGUAUCCCUCACAAGCAUUCUGUCGUAGUCAAGCUGCCCCUUACCUAUUUGUAAGUACGUUGGAGAUCCUGAAGCAAAGGAAGCAAAGGACGACAUCACCAUGAUGACCUGAAGCAGAGAAAUGAAGAUGUCAAUGUAAUGGAUCGACCUCUUCAAGAAGAGCAACCAAGACUGAGAAGAUUCGUUAGGAUUUCGUAACCAGACCUUCCCCCUUAUACCCCCUCUUAAAUCUCGGGACGAGAUUUCUUGUAGUGGAGGAGAAUUGUGACGCCCGGGUAAUUAAGCUACAGUGAUCCUCUGCUAGUGAUGCCACGUCACCUCGAUUAUAGUUGCUAAUCUCGCGUUAGUUCGAAAACGAUUCGCGUUCAAAUUCAAAAUCAAGCAAACAAUAAAAGAUUUCAAAUAUUGAAACUAAAAUGUUCGGAGUGAGCCAAAUAAUGCAUGGGUAAGUAUGGUGGAGAAAUCACACUUUUAUAAAAGUGUAAAAUAAUCUAAAAUGUUUUAAACAGUAGCAAAGACAAUUAGUUGAAUGCCUUUUACAAUAGAUAAAAUAUUAAACUAAUUUAUUUUGUUGGCCAAACUUAUGUGGUAGUAGCUAAAUACUAACACUAAAUUAGGGACUACUUUUAUAGUNNNNNNNNNNNNNNNNNNNNNNNNNNNNNNNNNNNNNNNNNNNNNNNNNNNNNNNNNNNNNNNNNNNNNNNNNNNNNNNNNNNNNNNNNNNNNNNNNNNNNNNNNNNNNNNNNNNNNNNNNNNNNNNNNNNNNNNNNNNNNNNNNNNNNNNNNNNNNNNNNNNNNNNNNNNNNNNNNNNNNNNNNNNNNNNNNNNNNNNNNNNNNNNNNNNNNNNNNNNNNNNNNNNNNNNNNNNNNNNNNNNNNNNNNNNNNNNNNNNNNNNNNNNNNNNNNNNNNNNNNNNNNNNNNNNNNNNNNNNNNNNNNNNNNNNNNNNNNNNNNNNNNNNNNNNNNNNNNNNNNNNNNNNNNNNNNNNNNNNNNNNNNNNNNNNNNNNNNNNNNNNNNNNNNNNNNNNNNNNNNNNNNNNNNNNNNNNNNNNNNNNNNNNNNNNNNNNNNNNNNNNNNNNNNNNNNNNNNNNNNNNNNNNNNNNNNNNNNNNNNNNNNNNNNNNNNNNNNNNNNNNNNNNNNNNNNNNNNNNNNNNNNNNNNNNNNNNNNNNNNNNNNNNNNNNNNNNNNNNNNNNNNNNNNNNNNNNNNNNNNNNNNNNNNNNNNNNNNNNNNNNNNNNNNNNNNNNNNNNNNNNNNNNNNNNNNNNNNNNNNNNNNNNNNNNNNNNNNNNNNNNNNNNNNNNNNNNNNNNNNNNNNNNNNCCAGAUGCUGGAGCCCUGGAGCCAGACGCCACCGUCGACGACGACUACUACACUGGAGGUGCCUACUACUACGUGCAGCCCGUUGACGACGACCAAGAGUAGUUAGGAGGAUCCCAGGCAGGAGGCCUGCGCCUCUUUCGAUCUGUAUCCCAGUUUGUGCUAGCCAUCUUAUGGCAACUUGUUUAACUUAUGUCUGUUCUUAGAUAUUGUUGCUUCCGCUGACUCGUCUAUGAUCGAGCACUUGUAUUCGAGCCCUCGAGGCCCCUGGCUUGUAUUAUGAUGCUUGUAUGACUUAUUUAUGUUUUUAGAGUUGUGUUGUGAUAUCUUUCCGUGAGUCCCUGAUCUUGAUCGUACACGUUUGCGUGCAUGAUUAGUGUACGAUUGAAUCGGGGGCGUCACAGCUUGUGACCCCCUCGUGGGUCCCUCCAACUUGUUCUCGACGCCAUCUGGUCUUAUAAAUACAGAAACCUCCAGAAAAAAACCUAGAUCGGGAGUUCCGCCGCCGCAAGCCUCUGUAGCCACCAAAAACCAAUCAGGAGCCCUUUCUGGCACCCUGCCGGAGGGGGAACCCAUCUCCGGUGUCCAUCUUCAUCAUCCCUACAAUUUCCAUGACGAGGAGGGGAGUAGUUCUCCCUCGGGGCUGAGGGUAUGUACCAGUAGCUAUGUGUUUGAUCUCUCUCUCUCAUGUUCUUGAGAUGUAAUGAUCUUGAUGUAUCGCGGGCUUUGCUACUAUAGUUGGAUCUUAUGAUGUUCAUCCCCCUCUCCCUUCUUGUAAUGAAUUGAGUUUUCCCUUUGAAGUUAUCUUAUCGGAUUGAGUCUUUAAGAACACUUGAUGUAUGUCUUGCACGUGUCUAUCUGUGGUGACAAUGGGAUAUUCAUGUGAGUACUUGAUGUAUGUUUUGGUGAUCAACUUGCGGGUUUCGUGACAUUGGGAACCUAUGCAUAGGGGUUGGCGCAUGUUUGACUCUCCGGUAGAAACUUUGGGACACUCUUUGAAGUUCUAUGUGUUGGUUGAAUAGAUGAUUCUGAGAUUGUGUGAUGCAUAUCGUAUAAUCAUGCCCACGGAUACUUGAGGUGACAAUGGAGUAUCUAGGUGACAUUAUGGUCUUGGUUGAUAUGUGUCUUAGGGUGUUAUUCUAGUACGAACUCUAUGAUAGAUUGAACGGAAAGAAUAGCUUCGUGUUAUUUUACUACGGACUCUUAAAUAGAUCGAUCAGAAAGAAUAACUUUGUGGUGGUUUCGUACCCGACAAUAAUCUCUUCGUUUGUUCUCCGCUAUUAGUGGCUUUGGAGUGACUCUUUAUUGCACCUUGAGGGCUAGUUAUAUGAUCCAAUUAUGUUAUCAUUGUUGAGAGAACUUCCACUAGUGAAAGUAUGAACCCUAGGCCUUGUUUACACACAUUGCAAUACCGUUCGUGCUCACUUUCAUUGUUAUUUACCUUGCUGUUUUUAUUAUUUCAGAUUACAAAAACCUAUAUCUACUAUCCAUAUUGCACUUGUAUCACCAUAUCUUCGCCGGACUAGUGCACCUAUACAACUUACAAUUGUAUUGGGUGUGUUGGGUACACAAGAGACUCUUUGUUAUUUGGUUGCAAGGUUGCUUGAGAGAGACCAUCUUCAUCCUACGCCUCCCACGGAUUGAUAAACCUUAGGUCACCCACUUGAGGGAAAAUUGCUACUGUCCUACAAACCUCUUCACUUGGAGGCCCAACAACGUCUACAAGAGAAGGUUGCGUAGUAGACAUCAGGGCAGAGGUGAAGGUUGAUACGUCUCCAACGUAUCUAUAAUUUUUGAUUGCUCCAUGCUACUUUAUCUACUGUUUUGGACUAUAUUGGGCUUUAUUUUUCACUUUUAUGUUAUUUUUGCAACUAACCUAUUAACCGGAGGCCCAGCCCAGAAUUGCUGUUUUUGCCUAUUUCAGUGUUUCGAAGAAACAAAAUAUCAAACGGAGUCCAAACGGAAUGAAACCUUCGGAAACGUGAUUUUCUAACCGAACGUGAUCCAGGAGACUUGGACCCUACUCCAAGAAGUAACAGAGGCGGUCAUGAGGGUGGGGGCGCCCCCUCCCCAGGGCGCACCCCCCAGCCUCGUGGGCCCCCUGUUGCUUCAUCGACAUACUCCUUCCUCCUAUAUAUACCUACGUACCCCCAAACAAUCAGAACAAGAGCCAAAAACCUAAUUCCACCGCCGCAACUUUCUGUAUCCACGAGAUCCCAUCUUGAGGCCUGUUCCGGAGCUCCGAGGGGGCAUCCACCAUGGAGGGCUUCUACAUCAACACCAUAGCCCCUCCGAUGAAGUGUGAGUAGUUUACUUCAGACCUUCGGGUCCAUAGCUAGUAGCUAGAUGGCUUCUUCUCUCUUUUUGGAUCUCAAUACAAUGUUCAACCCCUCUCUCGUGGAGAUCUAUUUGAUGUAAUCUUCUUUUUGCGGUGUGUUUGUUGAGAUCGAUGAAUUGUGGGUUUAUGAUCCAGCUUAUCUAUGAAUAAUAUUUGAAUCUUCUCUGGAUUCUUUUAUGUAUGAUUGAGUUAUCUUUGCAAGUCUCUUCGAAUUAUCCAUUUGGUUUGGCCAACUAGAUUGGUAGUUCUUGCAAUGGGAGAAGUGCUUAGCUUUGGGUUCAAUCUUGCGGUGUCCUUUCCCAGUGACAGAAGGGGCAACAAGGGACGUAUUGUAUUGUUUCCAUCGAGGAUAACAAGAUGGGUUUUUUAUCAUAUUGCAUGAAUUUAUCCCUCUACAUCAUGUCAUCUUGCUUAAGGCAUUACUCUGUCUUUAACUUAAUACUCUAGAUGCAUGCUGGAUAGCGGUCGAUGAGUGGAGUAAUAGUAGUAGAUGCAGAAUCGUUUCGGUCUGCUUGUCUUGGACAUGAUGCCUAUAUACAUGAUCAUACCUAGAUAUACUCAUAACUAUGCUCAAUUCUGUCAAUUGCUUAACAGUAAUUUGUUCACCCACCAUAGAAUAUCUAUGCUCUUGAGAGAAGCCACUAGUGAAACCUAUGGCCCCCGGGUCUAUUCUCAUCAUAUAAAUCUCCAUUACUAUAAUACUUGCUUUGUUUUUACUUUGCCUUUUACUUUUCACUUUGCACCUAUAUACCAAAAAUACCAAAAAUAUUAUUUAUCAUCUCUAUCAGAUCUCACUCUCGUAAGUGACCGUGAAGGGAUUGACAGCCCCUAAUCGCGUUGGUUGCGAGGAGCUAUCAUUUUGUGUAGGUACGAGGGACUUGUGCGUGGCCUCCUACUGGAUUGAUACCUUGGUUCUCAAAAACUGAGGGAAAUACUUACGCUACUUUGCUGCAUCAUCCUCUCCUCUUCGGGGAAAUCCAACACAGUGCUCAAGAGGUAGCAAGAAGAGUUUCUGGCGCCGUUACCGGGGAGGCUCACGCAAGAGCAAGUCAACCAUACCAAGUACCCAUCACAAUCCCUAUCUCUCGCAUUACAUUAUUUGCCAUUUGCCUCUCGUUUUCCUCUCCGCCACUUCACCCUUGUUGUUUUAUUCGCCCUCUCUUUCCCAAUCUCCUCCUCUUUUUCCCGCUUGCCUUUUUGUUUGCUCGUGUGUUAGUUUGCUUGCUUGUCGUCCUGACUAGUCUCAUAUCUUCUCCGUUAUCUCCCGAGAAUGAAGUUCUAAAUUUUAAACAAAGGGAGGGAGAAAAUCUAAAAGACUCUUGGUAUAGAAUUUGCAAUGCUCAAAAUAGAUCUACCAGGAAGCAAUCUACUUUAGUUCUUCUUCGUAAUACGUAGGUGCUAAUCCUUGAUAUAGAUAUAUCCUUGAUACCAUUACCGGAAGGAAUUUCUUGGGUAGCCAUACUUUUGAUUCUUAUCAUGCUUUAAUAGAUUUAUUUGGCUCACCACCUCUUUUGAUUAAUGGAAUUAUGUUAACUUUGGAGCAUGUUAUGCAAAGACUUGAAAUUAUUGAGAAUAAAGUUGCUACCAUUGAAUCAAUUGAAAAUCUUGAUAAAAAGAUCCACAAUCAAAUUACCCAAUAUGGAUCUAAGGUAGGAAUGACUUUGAAAAAUAUUAAAGAAAAAGAACCCAUAGUUAAUGAGAAAAUAAAUCUAGAUUCCACAAGAAUCCAUAAACUUGAGGGUAUCAUUACCAACUUGGGAACCGCUUUUUCUUCCGUACAAAACACUCCAAGUUAGUCUACUAAAAAUACUAAGCUUAUUUAUGUUCCUAAGAAUAAGGGUGAAUCAUCUAGUAAGGAAUCUGCGGAUCUUAAAUCUAUAAGUGUUCAUCCCGAUCUUUUUGCCAUCAUUAAGGAACCAUUUGCUAUGAAUGAAUUUUUCGAUCUUUUGCCUGAAAAUUCGACAAUUACUAGAAAGAAAGAAAAUUCUAAAGGAGGUAGAUGCCUCAUUGAAGAAUUGCCUACCAAAGAUGGCAAUACCUAGAUCUAUCCUUGCUUUUAUGCCUAGCUAGGGGCGUUAAACGAUAGCGCUUGUUGGGAGGCAACCCAAUUUUAUUUUUAGUUUUUAGUUUUUGCUUCUGUUUAGGAAUAAAUAAUCCAUCUAGCCUCUAUUUAGAUGUGGUUUUAUGUUUUAAUUAGUAUUUGUGCCAAGUAGAACCUAUAGGAUAACCUACGAUGAUAGUUGAUUUGAUUCUGCUGAAAAACAGAAACUUUGCGCGCACGAAUAUAAUUUUGUUAAAUCAUAGAAACAUGCUUUUGCGUUGAUUAUUUUUGCUGCUGUUCAAUAAGCAAAUUGUACAGGACUUCCUAUUUUGGUAGGAUUGUUAGAGUUGCAGAAGUUUGCAUUAGGUACAGAUUACUACAGACUAUUCUGUUUUUGACAGAUUCUGUUUUGCGUGUGUUGUUUGCUUAUUUUGAUGAAUAUAUGGCUAGUAAAAUAGUUUAUGAUCCAUAGAGAAGUUGUAAUACAGUAGGUUUAACACCAAUAUAAAUAAAAAAAGAGUUCAUUACAGUACCUUAAAGUAGUCUUUUGUUUUCUUUCUCUAACGGAGGUCACGAGAUUUCUAUUGAGUUUUGUGUUGUGAAGUUUUCAAGUUUUGGGUGAAUUCUUUUGAUGGAUUAUGGAAAAAGGAGUGGCAAGAGCCUAAGCUUGGGGAUGCUCAUGGCAACCCCAAGAUAAUACAAGGACACCAAAAAGUCAAAGCUUGGGGAUGCCCCGGAAGGCAUCCCCUCUUUCGUCUACUUCCAUCGGUAAUUUACUUGGAGCUAUAUUUUUAUUCACCACAUGAUAUGUGUUUUGCUUGGAGCGUCUUGUAUUAUUUGCGUCUUUGCUUGUUAGUUUACCACAAUCAUCCUUGUUGUACACACCUUUUGAGAGAGCCAUGCAUGAAUUGGAAUUUGCUAGAAUACUCUAUGUGCUUCACUUAUAUCUUUUGAGCUUGAUGGUUUUGCUCGUAGUGCUUCACUUAUAUCUUUUGAGCGUGAUAAUUUUUGCUCUAGUGCAUCACUUAGAUCUUUUAGAGCACGGUUGUGGAUUUGUUUUAAAGAAACUAUUGAUCUCUCAUGCUUCACUUAGAUUAUUUUGAGAGUCGUUAAUAGCAUGGUAAUUUGCUUAAUAUUAAUAUACUUGGUAUUCAAGAUAUGUGAAACUUUCUUUUGAGUGUGUUGAAUACUAAGAUAAGUUUGAUGCUUGAUAAUUGUUUUGAGAUAUGGAGGUGAUAAUAUCAAAGUCGUGCUAGUUGAGUAAUUGUGAAUUUGAGAAAUGCUUGUGUUGAAGUUUGCAAGUCCUGUAGCAUGCACCUAUGGUUAAAGUUGUGUAACAAAUUUGAAACAUGAAGUGUACCUGGCUUGUGCAUCCUUAUGAGUGGCGGUCGGGGACGAGUGAUGGUCUUUUCCUACCAAUCUAUCCCCCUAGGAGCAUGCGCAUAGUACUUGAUUUUUGAUGACUUCUAAAUUUUUGCAAUGAGUAUAUGAGUUCUUUUGACUAAUGUUGAGUCCAUGGAUUAUACGCACUUUUACCUUUCCGCCUUUGCUAGCCUCUUCGGUACCGUGCAUUGCCCUUUCUCACCUUGAGAGUUGGUGCAAACUUCGCCGGUGCAUCCAAACCCCGUGAUAUGAUACGCUCUAUCACACAUAAACCUCCUUAUAUCUUCCUCAAAACAGCCACCAUACCUAUCUAUCAUGGCAUUUUCAUAGCCAUUCCGAGAUAUAUUGCCAUGCAACUUUCAUCAUCAUAUACAUGACAUACAUUACUUUUGUCAUAUUGCCAUUGCAUGAUCAUGUAGUUGACAUCGUAUUUGUGGCAAAGCCACCAUGCAUUAUUUUUCAUACAUGUCAGUCUUGAUUCAUUGCACCAUCCCGGUACACCGCCGGAGGCAUUCAUAUAGAGUCAUAUCUUGUUCUAGUUUCGAGUUGUAAUCCUUAUGUUGUAAUCAAUAGAAGUGUGAUGAUCAUCAUUAUUAGAGCAUUGUCCCAAAAAAAAGAAAAAAAGAAAAAAAGGAAAGGCCAAAAAGAAAAAAAAGGAAAGGCCAAAAAAAGAGAAAAAAAGAAAAAAAAAAGAGAAAAUAAAUAAAAAGGGACAAUGCUACUAUCUCUUUUUCCACACUUGUGCUUCAAAGUAGCACCUUGUUCUUCAUGUAGUGAGUCUCAUAUAUUGUGCUUCAAAGUAGCACCUUGUUCUUCAUGUAGUGAGUCUCAUAAGUUGUCUUUUUAUACUAGUGGGAAUUUUGAAUUAUAGAACUUGGCUUGUAUAUUCCUACAAUGGGCUUCCUCAAAUGCGCUAGGUCUUCAUGAGCAGGCGAGUUGGAUGCACACCCACUAGUUUUCUUUUGUUGAGCAUUCAUAGCUCUAGUGCAUACGUUGCAUGGCAAUCCCUACUCCUCAUGUUGACAUCAAUUGAUGGGCAUCUCCAUAGCCCGUUGAUUAUUAUCCUCGUCAAUGUGAGACUUUCUCCUUUUUUUGUCUUCCCCACACAAUCCCCAUCAUCAUAUUCUAUUCCACCCGUAGUGCUAUAUCCAUGGCUCACGCUCAUGUAUUGCGUGAAGGUUGAAAAAGUUUGAUAUUAUUUAAGUAUGAAACAAUUGCUUGGCUUGUCAUCGGGGGUAUAGAAGUUGGGAAAAUCUUUGUGUGACGAAAAUGAAGCAUAGCCUAACUAUAUGAUUUUGUAGGGAUGAACUUUCUUUUGCCAUGCUAUUUUGAGAAGACAUGAUUGCUUUGAUUAGUAUGCUUGAAGUAUUAUUAUUUUUAUGUCAAUAUGAACUUUUGUCUUGAAUCUUUCGGAUCUGAAUAUUCAUGCCACAAUUAAGAAGAUUUACAUUGAAAUUAUGCCAAAGUAUCACUCCGCAUCAAAAAUGCUCUUUUUAUCAUUUACCUACUCGAGGACGAGCAGGAAUUAAGCUUGGGGAUGCCUGAUACGUGUCCAACGUAUCUAUAAUUUUUGAUUGAUCCAUGCUACUUUAUCUACUGUUUUGGACUAUAUUGGGCUUUAUUUUCCACUUUUAUGUUAUUUUUGGGACUAACCAAUUAACCGGAGGCCCAGCCCAGAAUUGUUUUUUUUCUAUUUCAGUGUUUCGAAGAAACGGAAUAUCAAACGGAGUCCAAACAGAAGGAAACCUUCGGAAACGUGAUUUUCUCACCGAACGUGAUCCAGGAGACUUGGACCAUACUCCAAGAAGUAACAGAGGCGGUCACGAGGGUGGGGGGCGCGCCCCCUACCUCGUGGGCCCCCUGUUGCUCAACCGAUGUACUCCUUCCUCCUAUAUAUACCUACGUACCCCCAAACGAUCAAAACAGGAGCCAAAAACCUAAUUCCACCGCCGCAACUUUCUGUAUCCACGAGAUCCCAUCUUGGGGCCUGUUCCAGAGCUCCGCCGGAGGGGGCAUCCACCACAGAGGGCUUCUAUAUCAACACCAUAGCCCCUCCGAUGAAGUGUGAGUAGUUUACUUCAGACCUUCGGGUCCAUAGCUAGUAGCUAGAUGGCUUCUUCUCUCUUUUUGGAUCUCAAUACAAUGUUCUCCCCCUCUCUCGUGGAGAUCUAUUCGAUGUAAUCUUCUUUUUGCGGUGUGUUUGUUCAGACCGAUGAAUUGUGGGUUUAUGAUCCAGCUAUCUAUGAAUAAUAUUUGAAUCUUCUCUGAAUUCUUUUAUGUAUGAUUGAGUUAUCUUUGCAAGUCUCUUCGAAUUAUCCUUUGGUUUGGCCAACUAGAUUGGUAGUUCUUGCAAUGGGAGAAGUGCUUAGCUUUGGGUUCAAUCUUGCGGUGUCCUUUCCCAGUGACAGAAGGGGCAGCAAGGCACGUAUUGUAUUGUUGCCAUCGAGGAUAACAAGAUGUGGUUUUUAUCAUAUUGCAUGAAUUUAUCCCUCUACAUCAUGUCAUCUUGCUUAAGGCGUUACUCUGUUUUUAACUUAAUACUCUAGAUGCAUGCUUGAUAGCGGUCGAUGAGUGGAGUAAUAGUAGUAGAUGCAGAAUCGUUUCGGUCUACUUGUCUUGGAUGUGAUGCCUAUAUACAUGAUCAUACCUAGAUAUACUCAUAACUAUGCUCAAUUCUGUCAAUUGCUCAACAGUAAUUUGUUCACCCACCAUAGAAUAUCUAUGCUCUUGAGAGAAGCCACUAGUGAAACCUAUGGCCCCCGGGUCUAUUCUCAUCAUAUCAAUCUCCAUUACUUUAAUACUUGCUUUGUUUUUACUUUGCCUUUCACUUUUCACUUUGCAUCUAUAUACCAAAAAUACCAAAAAUAUUAUUUAUCAUCUCUAUCAGAUCUCACUCUCGUAAGUGAUCGUGAAGGGAUUGACAACCCCUAAUCGCGUUGGUUGCGAGGAGCUAUCAUUUUGUGUAGGUAAGAGGGACUUGUGCGUGGCCUCCUACUGGAUUGAUACCUUGGUUCUCAAAAACCGAGGGAAAUACUUAUGCUACUUUGCUGCAUCAUCCUCUCCUCUUCGGGGAAAUCCAGCGCAGUGCUCAAGAGGUAGCAAAGGUCAACGGCGGUGGCAGCGCUCGAGUGCUGAGGCGACGUGAGGUGGAAGACAGACGAAGAGGCAAGGGGAGAAAAGGAAAGGGACCCUCGGCCCUAUUUAUAAGAUGAAGAGAUAAGUGACAGGCACAGGAAUCGAGGAGCCCAAAAAAUGGAUAUGUCCCAGACCCGUCUCCUCGAUUUUCGGAGGCUCAUUAAUAAAAUUAAGGUAUAUACAGUUUUUUUAAUGAACAGGUGAUGUCAUGGCAAUUUAUUAUAAUCCUGGAAGAUGACGUCAUGGCGGUUUAUUAUAAUCCUGGAAGAUGACGUCAUGGCGGAUUACAAGGUUUACUCGAAGGUACUAAAGAAGAAAUUUUUCUAAAGUGUUGAAGAUUGACAUGAACAGGUUCAAAUCAAUCUGGGGCCUAAUGUUGGGGAUAUAACUACUGAGUAUAAACCGCCCAGGAGGGGUCGGGUUAUACCUGUAAUGAGUUAUUCAUAUUGAAGCCCAUGAAGACAAGGUGUAUGACGCUUUAAUAUAAGAGAUCUAAAAGCCCAGGGCCCAAAGGCGGAUUUGGGCCCAUAGACAUAAACCGCCAUAAGGUGUGUAACUUGUGUUGUAAGAUAGGAAAGAGUAGAAACCGAGCCGCACAUGUUUAUGAGCCGGUCGGGAUUCUAUAAACCGCAGGGCGUCAAGCUGUGUAUAUAAAGGGAUGACCCGGCGGUAGUUCAAGGAUAAGAAACAACAACUCGAGAGCCAGGCAAAGCGUAUUCGCUCCCUGGUCAUCGAAACCAUAGCAAUCCCAUCAUAACUGGAGUAGGCUUUACCUUCACCGUAAGGGGACGAACCAGUAUAAUUCCGUGCGUCCUUUGUCAGCUUUAACCCCUUUAAGUUCACUAUGUUGCAAUGGCUCCACGACUAAGUCCUCACACUAGGACAUCUGCCGUGACAAUCCCACGACAAGCGGGGAAAUAUUUAGCAGAGAAAUAAUAAAUCAUAUCCUGGGGACUACGCACACAACCAGGAUCAAGAGAAUUAAACCAUGUUUUAGCAUCACCCUUUAAUGAGAACGGGAAUAACUUAAGGAUAAAGUAAUAGCGAGUUUUCUCAUCAUUAGUGAAUAGGGUGGCUAUAUCAUUUAAUUUAGUAAGAUGUGUCACAACAGUUUCAGAUUCAUAGCCAUAGAAAGGAUCAGAAUCAACCAAAGUAAUUAACUCAGGAUCGACUGAGAAAUCAUAAUCCUUAUCGGAAAUAAAGAUAGGUGAAGUAGCAAAAGCAGGGUCAUAUUUCAUUCUAGCAUUCAAAGACUUUUCUUUAAGCUUAGCUAAUAAUUUCUUAAGAUCAGAUCUAUCAUUGCAAUCUAAGAAGUCUCUAGCAGUUUCUUCAUCCAUAACAUAACUCCCAGGCACAAUAGGCAAUUCAUAUCUAGGGGGGAGAAUCUUCAUCAUCACUUUCGUCAAUAUUAUCAGUUUUAGCAAUUUCAUUCUCUCUAACCCUAGCAAGUUGUUCAUCAAGAAAUUCACCUAAUGACACAGUAUUAUCAAGCAUAGAAGUAGUUUCAUCAUAAGUAUCAUGCAAAGCAGAAGUGGCAUCAUCAAUAACAUGCGACAUAUCAGAAUGAAUAGCAGGAGUAGGUGUCGCAAGUUUACUCAAAACAGAAGGUGAAUCAAGUGCUGAGCUAGAUGGCAGUUUCUUACCUCCACUCAUAGUUGAGGGAAAAUCUUGGUUCUUUUAUCUUUCAAGUUCUUCAUAGUGAUCAGCAGAUAUAAAACCCAAGUGACUCAAAGAAUAGAGCUAUGCUCCCCGGCAACAGCGCCAGAAAAUAGUCUUGAUAACCCACAAGUAUAGGGGAUCACAAUAGUUCUCGAGGGUAGAGUAUUCAACCCAAAUUUAUUGAUUCAACACAAGGGGAGCCAAAGAAUAUUAUCAAGUAUUAGCAGCUGAGUUGUCAAUUCAACCACACCUGGAAACUUAAUAUCUGCAGCAAAGUAUUUAGUAGCAAAGUAAUAUGAUAGUAGCGGCAACGGUGGCAAAAGUGACGGUAGCAGUUUUGUAGUGAUUGUAACAGUGGAAACGGAAAAGUAACUAAGCAAAGAUCAAUAUAUGAAAAGCUCAUAGGCAAUUGAUCAGUGAUGGAUAAUUAUGUCGGAUGCGAUUCCUCAUGCAAUAGUUAUAACAUAGGGUGACACAGAACUAGCUCCAGUUCAUCAAUAUAAUGUUGGCAUGUAUUCAGAUAUAGUCAUACGUGCUUAUGGAAAAGAAAAUGCAUGACAUCUUUUGUCCUACCCUCCCGUGGCAAUGGGGUCCUAUUGGAAACUAUGGGAUAUUAAGGCCUCCUUUUAAUAGAGUACCGGGAAUACAUCAACACCUCAAACUACGGUCAUCACCGGUAAGUAUACCGAUUAUUGUCACUUCGGGGUUAACGGAUCAUAACACAUAAUAGGUGACUAUAGACUUGCAAGAUAGGAUCAAGAACUCACAUAUAUUCAUGAAAACAUAAUAGGUUCAGAUCUGAAAUCAUGGCACUCGGGCCCUAGUGACAAGCAUUAAGCAUAGCAAAGUCAUAGCAACAUCAAUCUGGGAACAUAAUGGAUACUAGGGAUCAAACCCUAACAAAACUAACUCGAUUACAUGAUAAAUCUCAUCCAACCCAUUACCAUCCAGCAAGCCUACAAUGGAAUUACUCACGCACGUCGGUGAGCAUCUUUAAACCUCGCCUCGGCAACUUGCAAUACCCGUCACGAAGCUUCAGAAGUAUAUCACCUCAGCGCAGGAAGGGACGUUCAUUCCCGACAGAGAAAAGGACGAGCUGAUUGAGGCCCUAGGGAAUGCUGAGCACCCUGGACGAACACGAGGCACUCCAGGCUCCGUUCUAUGGAAGUUUGGGUUUCCCGAUGCAGGCGGUUACAAAAGCCGGGAGAGAAAGAGGAAAGAGGAGAUGAGCGACAUGUAGAAGCUCAAUGCAAGACUACAAAAGCUAGAGGAAGCUGAGAGCAAGCGAGCUGCCGACCAACCAUCUCAGCGGCACGAAGCUACCCCAGAAACUACCCCGCCAUCUCAGCGGAGAAGCAGCGUGGCUUCCACGGAGCCCGUUCAUCCUGACUUCAUGUCUCCUAGCACGGAGGCUCAACAUUGCGAGCUUAUGACGAAAUGCCGGAACCUCACUUUCAAGGCGUCUACAAGCGAAGGGGAGAAUUGGCUGGUUCAUGCUCUGAGGAGUACAUGUCUAUGGCAGAAGGAGUACAUCAAGCUUCCAAACUGGACGCCUCUGCUUCCUGCUCCUCCUCCGGCGAGUCAGGGCACUCCGCCUCCUCCUCCUCUGGCGAGUGAUCAGGGCACUCCGCCUCCUUCUCCGGCUCCUCUGACACGUGAGGGCACUCCGCCUCCUCCUUCGCAUACUACGGCGCGUCGGAGCAGUCCGCCUCCUCCUCAGCCUCGUCGGCAAUGGCGGAAGACAAACACCGUCGCUCUGGCUCCUUUGGUACGUCAGAUUUCUCCGCCUCGUCGGCAACAAUGGAAGAGAGACGCCGCCGCUCCGGUGGCUAGCAGUAUAAGCAGAGGCGGGAGCCAAUUUAGAUACGGUCCAUCUCUCAAGCCUCUGGAAAGUUACCAUAUGAGAGGACCGAGCAGGAAAAUGAGGACAUAUGUCGUGCCCAACUAAGGGACCAUUUUGCAAAGAAAACUCCACCUCUGAAGGAGAAGGUAGAUCCGGUGAAAGUGAAGCGCACUAUCAAUGCCCUGAAGCGACCACCACUGCCUCCGCCGGAUUCCAACUAUGGCCGCAUAAUUACUAAGACACAUGCUAAAGCGCAGCAGUCGGGAAGUACUUCCAGUGCUGCAAGAGCGAAAAAACGAAGAAGUGGGAAAACAAUUCCUCAGCUCGGCGAACAGGAGAAGCAAUCGUGCCCCCCGCUCAAGGUGUCUAGCGAUAUCGCUAAUCAUCCGAUGCUACUGCCCGAUACCACUCUUGAUGAUUACCUGCCCAAUGAUGUAUAGUUUGAAACGGCUGAGGUAGUAGACGUCUUUAGAUACGAGCAUGGGAAGCCUCUCGUCAAACCUGAUCAUCCUCAUCUAACAACGAUGAUGCAAAAAUUGCAUGACUGGUACAUGGAAACCUAGAGGAAGUCUGGGAAAGACAUUUGUUAGUCGGAAUUAAAAAAGAGCAUGACUUCCUUGGAAUCGACCUGCUGCCUGUUGAAUUUGUGGAGUUAUUUCAAUUAUACAAUCACAAGGCCCUCGACAAACAACUCAUGACUUGCUACUGUCUGUAAGUAUUACUUCUAUAAUUAAGUCUCUAGCUCAGCUCACUCAUUGCAUGUAUAUAUAAUUAUCCUCACUAUAUUAUGCAGAUUGAAGAUGGUCGAAUGCAAAAAAAUAGGAAUCUUCGACGUUGGGUUCAUUAGCCCAAAUACCGUAAAUGAAUGGUCGAUACGAAAGGCGGCUGAAGAUACCGAGAACAACUUACUACAAACGUUCCUUACACAUCAAAACAAAAGGGAAAUACUCUUUCCUUACAACUUCAAGUGAGUGUUACUGUCUUCUGCAUAUUCAGUUCCGCUUACUCGUGGUUAAGUAAUGUAAUUGAUGAGUUAUGCGUGCGCAGCUUCCACUAUAUUCUGCUAUCCAUUAACCUUGAUGGGGCAUUCGUAAUUGUCUUAGACUCGCUCCGUAAAGAUCCCAAGUAUUAUGCGGACACGACUGCAAUGCUCCAGAAGUAAGUUCAAUCAAUACCGAGACCAUAUCGGCAACUUUUAUUCAUUUCCUGAUAUCAAGUAAUCAUUUUCUUUGCCUGCCAGGGUUUGGAAAACGUUCACCGCUAAGGUUCCGGGUCUGAAGAAGGAGCUGCAAUUUACACACACCAAAGUAAGUAGUACAAGCUAGUUUCACGCAUCUCUCAUUGAUUCUAGUUUAAUCAAUAUCAUUAUCAUGCUUGCUUAUCAGUUUGACUGAACUCUAUUCUCGUAAAGUGCUUGUUGCAGGCACCCAACACUCAUUUAUGUGGAUACUACGUAUGCGAGUUCAUUCGCUACUAUACCUCUGAACGGGCCUCCUAUGAGAAACAAUUUGAAGUACGCAAACAAUAUUCACAAUUUUAUUUUAUAUAUUACCAUCAAUUGUGUUGAGUUUCAUUCAUAUAUAUGUAUUGACACCUUCUUUAAAUUAGAUCUGGCAGAUGCGGGAUGAACUCCUACCACAUGAUCGCAUACGAGCAAUUCAAGAGGAAUUGGCAGGAUUCUUUCUUGACCACGUCAUACCUGAACAAGGAGAAUACCAUGUGAAAUUGAAAUUGUUGUAAGGGAUGUUAUAUAUUGUACAUAUGUAGCAGCGUCGGAUGGAUAUACGAAAACUUGUUAUUCGACCAAGCACGAAGAAAGAUAUGUCACUUCUCUCUAUAUAUGUUCAUGACGAUCUUGUGUAAUUAAUGGUUUCCUUUAGUUGCUUACUAGCUAGCGUCGAGUUCUCUCUAUAUGUGUAGUAGCUAGAGUCAACCAAGCACGGAAAAAGAGAGGUCACUUCUCUCUAUUAGCUCGGUAACACAAUACGAAACCCCUAAAUUAACCCUCCAAAACCCCAACCCCCCCCCUCCCCCCCGUCCAAAAAAAAACAAAACCCCCAGUGACUGCGAGCUGCUGACGCGUGGCCGCCUUUUGGUCCUGGUUGGUGUUACCAACCGGGACUAAAGGUCCUCCCUCCCCCGCCCCAGGCAGUGCCACGUGGAGGGCCUUUGGUCCCGGUUCGUAAGCAAACCGGGACUAAAGGUUUUGGGUAUUAGUCCCGACCCUUUAGUCCCGGUUCCAGAACCAGGACAAAUGGCCCUCUGGAACCGGGACAAAUGGCCCUUUUUGUACUAGUGACUUCUCAUAGAAGAUACUUACAGAUAGACAUAAUCUCCUACUUCGAAAAUUAAUUCUCUUCUUCGAUUAUCUGCAUAGCUCUUCUGACGAGUUUGUGCCACUCUCAAGUUCUCUCUAAUCAACCUGACUUGUUCCUCGGCAUUCCUGAGCACAUCUGGUCCAAAGACUUAACUUUCACCCGUUUGAUUCCAGAACAACGGUGUUCUACACUUACGCCCAUACAAUGCUUCAAACGGUGCCAUCUUUAGACUAUUCUGGUGAUUGUUGUUGUAAGAGAACUCCGCAUACGGUAAACUUUUAUCCCAACUAGUAUCAUACUGCAAUGCACAAGCUCUCAACAUAUCUUCAAGAAUCUGAUUGAGCCUUUCUGUCUGUCCAUCAGUCUGAGGAUGAUAUGCUGUACUGAAAUUCAACUUCGUUCCCAAUGAUUUAUGCACUUUCUGCCAAAAGAUGGACGUGAACUGCGGACCUCUAUCAGACACAAUCUUCUUAGGAACUCCAUGCUGACAUACUAUUCUUUCCAUGUAUAGCUCUGCCAAUCUUGCCCCGCUAUAAGUAGUCUUGACAGGCAAAAAGUGAGCGACUUUAGUGAGACGAUCCACUAUUACCCAUAUAGAAUCAUAACCUUGCUGAGUGUGUGGUAAUCCCACUAUAAAGUCCGUUCCGACUUCUUCCCAUUUCCACUCAGGAAUCUUCAUUGGUUGCAACAAACUAGCGGGUCUCUGAUGCUCAGUCUUUACCCUCUGACAAGUGUCACAUAUAGCUACAUACUCAGCCACAUCUCUUUUCAAUCCAUACCAGCAGUACUUCUCCUUAAGAUUUAGAUACAUCUUAGUACUUCCAGGAUGGAUAGAAUAGGCUGUCUCAUGUGCUUCACGCAAAAUUGUAUCAUGAAUGGCUUUCACCUCAGGCACACAUAUCCUUUUUCCAAACCAUAAGGUUCCAUUUUCAUCAAUUCUGAAGCCAGGUGCUUUACCAGUCACCACAUUAUCAGCUAUCUCCUUUAGCUUUUCAUCUUCUAGUUGACCCUUACGUAUUUCUUGCUCCAACGUAGGAAUCACUUUUAUCUCCAUAGCACUAGCAACAAUACCAAGGUUCAGAUGUUGCAACUCCGCAUACAACUCUUCUGCCUCUGGUCUCAACUUACGAUUGUUGUCAUAUUUCUUCCUACUGAGAGCAUCAGCUACAACAUUCGCCUUACCUGGAUGAUAAUGUACCUCCGGUUCAUAAUCCUUGAUUAACUCUAGCCAGCGACGUUGUCUUAAAUUCAGACAUGUCUGAGUGAAUAUAUACUUCAAGCUCUUAUGAUCGGUGUAGAUAUCACUCUUGUGACCAAUCAGAUAGUGUCUCCAGAUCUGCAAUGCAUGUACCACAGCUGCUAGCUCCAGAUCAUGAGUAGGAUAAUUUAACUCAUGCUUCCUCAACUGUCUCGAUGCAUGCGUCGGUGGUGGUGAUCUCAUGUCCGCUUGCACCGUGUUCGAUGAAACGCCAACGAGGGUCAAAAGCUUCGAACCACAUCGGCAUCGCUCGGGGUAGCAGCGGGUACACGCUGGAGUGUUGGAUGUGAUGCUUGGCCAUCUCCAACUCACGAGCGUGUAAGAGAGAAAUCAUGAGACAGUAAUGAUUUAAUUUGGUUUUGCAAUGUUUUUAUUUUAAAAAUAGUUGGUUUAUCUUUGUAAAAUAGUUAUUUACAUGAGAAUUAUUGAACAAAAUAGUUUUUAAAGAGCAAUUUGCAUUCAAGCAGUCUUCAUUCUUAACGAAGCUACGAGUUCACAUUUGCUCUAACCAAACGGUCUUCAGUUUUUGCCACCACAGGAGCCUUGUAUUAGCUCUUGCGGUGCGAACGGGAGCUCGGAUGUCCAUGCGACGAAGCUGAUCUAUGAAAGUGGCCUUGGUGAUCCUGUGCCCCGGUUGGUAGGUUGGGAGACAGCAGGGAUGCAAGCCAGCGCCAACGAUGGGCGAAGAUUGCACGACGGAUGAGCGGCGCUAGAGAUGGAAAGUCUGCUGGAGCAGUUUAGGUGAAAGGAUAAAGAUGUAGUUUUCAUUUUUUUUUCUAAUAAUGAAAGUCGGACUCAACUUUAUGGAACUGGGCCUUAUGACACGUAGGGCCCAUCUGAAGCUUCUAGAGUUGUUAAUCCUGUGGUUGAGAAUGUGUGUGACAAAGCAUGUGUUUGAGUAUUUACUAUCUAGGGAAGUAUAAACAAAUUACAAUCUCAGUGGACCCAUAAGCUAAUAUCCUUGAAUGUUUUUUUUUUUCUGUUUGUGUGUAUAUGUCGCAAGUUUUCUUGUUUUAUUUUAGGUUUGGUACUGUAGCUAGGUCUAGAAUAGUUUUUUUUUUGUUCUUUUUUUAAUUUCAAAAAAAUCGAGGGAUGUCUCAGUUUUUAUUAAAAGAAAGAAAUAUUUGGUCCAAAGUUGAAUGAGCGUGUCAUGCAGGGUUAAAUCGGAAGAUAAACUGAUGAAACACAUGAUGCAUUAGUGGAUAUAUAUGUAAAUCACACGGGUGAUUUGAAGACAAAUUGAAAAACUAUAUGUCCAAUACUUGCACUCACGGGCAUUUUUGCUACUAUUAAUAAAUUGGUAAAAAUCAGAGAAUGCGAGGCCUGGCCAAAUGGGCCGGCCCGGCCUGGGUUAAACGGGCCCGAACCCCUCUUGCCCUCUCUCCUAUAAAAGCUGUGCUUUUACCCCCGCACUCCAUCGCCUCGCCGCCGUUCCCCGCAACACCCUGUCGACCCAAUCUCACAUCCUCCUCUCGCCCGCCCGAGGUGAGCACUUGUAGUUCCUCUGGAUUGGUUGGUAGGCGCUGGUUCGUAGGUCUCGGAUCCAGCCAGCGUGGUCUCCCUCCGCGUGCAUCCGGAGUUUCUCGUUCCGAUUGUGGUUGGUAGGCGCGGCGCGGCGCGGGUUCAUAGGUGUCGGAUCCAGCGCCGUCUGUAUCCUAUUCGUAUGAGGAACCUCGGCUAGGAUAGGAUUUGAUUAGUUAGGUUUUGUAUUAGGGUAACACCACCUAGCUAGGGUUCGAUUGAUUAUCCGUAACAAGGAAUCAAUCUGACGUUUUAGUUAGGGUUUGCUUGGUUGGUUGUGGUCAGAUUUUGGUUUCUCAUGAAUUCUUCAACUGUGCCUGUCGCGAUUUUGG